RNAcentral lists this long non-coding RNA (50752 nucleotides) under Populus tremula. Its description in RNAcentral is "long non-coding RNA (PTRE_LNC000684)". The record is from RNAcentral. Lineage: Eukaryota; Viridiplantae; Streptophyta; Magnoliopsida; Malpighiales; Salicaceae.
UUGACAUAGAGGACGCCGUCAAUAAGGAUGCUGACAUUGUCUUUGGUAAUAGCAGAUUGAUCAGGAAUCUGAAUAGCCUCUUCCUUCAAAGAGUGAACAUAAGCAAUUCGAUCGACAAGGGGAAUCAAGAAAUGGAUUCCAGAUGGCAGCGUCUUCAAGUACUUUCCAAAUCUCUCUACCACAAACGCUUUCUUCUCCGGCACAAUCCGUACCCCCCAAUUCACAGGUGGCGUAAUCUCAUAACUAAUGAAUUAUAAUAAAUUAAUAAAAAAAAAGAAGGAAGAAAGACAGGGAGGGAAUGCGGAAUGAAUGUACCUGGUGAAGGGGUCGCGGCCGGAGCGGAGGAGGCGGACGGAGAUGGUGGAGGAGAGAGGAGACGAAAGGCGGUUGUUUUGGGCUAAGUGAAAAGAAGGGGGUUGAAAUAAGGGAGAAUUGGAGGAGGGAGUGAGGAGGGUUCUGCCUCUGGAAGCGGUGGAAGCCGAUAAGGAGGAGAGGUGGUGGGAGGUUCUUACGGCGUUGUUGAGUAAUAAAUGACUCCUCCUCCUCCACAUUUUUCUGUCUCUCUUUGUUGUUGCUGUUGAAAAACCCUUGGCCUCCUUAAUUAUCGAACCCUCCCUCACUCUCACACUCUUCACUCUGAUCUGCUCUGCUGACCCUCUCCCCAAGUCACCCUCUCUCUUUUGUUCCCCCUCUGCCCACUCAAAUAAUUUAUUUUCCGAAGUUGUAAUUGACAGUGUGUGGUGGGUGGGUUUUGUUUUAGGCCCGACGUUUUAUAAUGGGCUCUUUUUUUUCUUUUAGAGUUUUUGUUAAAGAAUUGAGAAAAUCGAGACUAAUGUUCUCUGAACAUGAAGAACAAUGAGAGAACGGCAUGAUUUUUAUAAUUUUAAUUUUAAUUUCUUAAGUUAGAGAGCUUAGAUUUAUAUAAAAGUGAGGUUUUACAAUUCAUGAAUAAUAAGACAAUUUAAUCAUAUUUAAUCAGAUAAACAAUAGGAUUAGAGGAUAAAAAGUAAUCCAAAUUACUUUGAUUGUUCGAAUAAAUUCGGGUAGUAAAUUUCUUAAAGUUUCGGAGAAGAGGUAAUUCAGAGAAUUGCCUCAAAUUUAUUUAAGAUAAUUCCUGUAAAAUUAAAAAACUUAAAUCAUCCAAAUUAUAGUUCUAAUUUAUUUAUAAGGAUUUAGAAAUAAUGAGAUUGAAAUUUUUCUUAGUAAAAAAUUUCUUGAGCCUAGUUUUAUUAAUCCAUAUUUUUAAUGAAUUUCUUAUAAAAAAUUAAUGGGGCAAUGGUAAAAACAGUAUUAAUUUUGGAUUACCUGAUUUUUUCAAAAUAGGGUUUAUACAUACUGCUAUAAAUUGAUAAUAAUAUUUGCAUCUCAGAAACAUAGAAACAUUUGAUCGUAAAUCUUCUGUUACUUUUGUGUUGCAUUAAUUACUGCUUGGAUCGACACGAAGGUAAAGAGCUAAGCAAGUUAGCUAGUAAUUUAACCGAUAAUAAUUAAGUAUUAAAGUGUUAAUCAAGAAAAAGAACAUUUCUAGUUUGAAUCUUAUCACUUGGAUUUCCCAACUUACAUAGUGAUUGAUUAAAACUCUCGAGUUGAUAAAUUUUUGACCGUGAUUUAGCUCUCGAAAGUGAUCACUCACCCGUAGGCUAUGUCAGGAGUGAGUCCUUGCUAUGGAUAUAAGAAGAAGAAAAAAAAAACGAAGGUAUGGAGCUCUACGUAUCCUUGUUAUUAGUAAAGGUUAUAUUCAUGUGGAAAAGUGGUUAUCUCUUACAUGAACUUUGGUGCUCCCUUCAAAAGACUGAAGAAUUUGAAAGUAGAAUGCAAAUGUGAUUCAUAUGUGCUACCGGCGAAUAUCUCAACCUUCUUACGUGAUGCUGAAUACAUAAAAAUGGGAGAACGAAGCGAAGAAGGAAUCGUAGGUAAUUACAUUUUCAAAUUUUUAUUUCUAUUUGCAGUCUGAAUCUUAAUUGAUUUUCGUUGAUCGUUAAUAUUCUCAAUCAAUUUCAUUGCUUAAUCUCGAUUGCCGUAUUCAUGUAUUGAAUAUACUCAGCACACUCAAGUCUGCUAAUGGAUGAAGUGCAGACAUUGCAUUGAGAAGACAUUGCACUGAUGAGCUGGAAACUAAAGCUGCUAUAACAAGCUUAGCAGACGGUUAGAGUAGGCACAGCAGGUGGUUAGAUUCUGUUGUAAAGUCUGGUAUUCUGUUGUAAAAUCUGUUAUUUAUAACUGAUUCUGUUACUAUACUACAAGAAGGCUAUAAAUAUUGUAUCAGUUGAAUCAAUGAAUAAUAAGAAAAUCAGUUAAACAUUUUCGUUUCCAAUAUGGUAUCAGAGCAUUCUCUCUGAAUUUUUUUUCCCGCAUCCUUCUUUUUCUUCAUUCUCUCUUCUGUCUUCAUUCUCAACAAUGACUGACGCUACUUCAGAAAUGGAUUCUUCCAAUCCUUUCUUUCUACAUCAUGGUGACAGUCCUGGAGCCAUGAUUGUUUCGAAGCAACUCAAUGGUGAGAAUUAUAAUUCAUGGAAGAGGGCGAUGAUGAUGGCUUUAUCAGCCUAGAACAAACUCAAUUUCGUUAAUGGCACCUUGCCUAAGCCAUGCAAUCUAUCAGAUUCUCAAGGUUUGGCAUGGACUCGCUGCAACAAUAUGGUUCUCUCGUGGUUAUUGAAUUCUGUUUCAACAGAGAUUGCCAACAACAUCUAUAUUGAUGAUGCAUCUGAAAUUUGGAAUGAUCUUCAAGAUAGAUUCUCUCAACACAAUGGACCACGUAUCUUUCAACUACAGAAGUCCAUUUAUCUCUGUCACAGGAGAAUAACUUGUCAGUGCUUAUUUCACAACUAUGAAAGGCUUAUGGGAUGAGUUAGGCAAUCAUCAACCCAUUCCUACGUGCACAUGUGGAGCAUUGAAGACUAUUCUAUCUUAUCAUCAUCAACACAUGUUUAUUAGUUUCUCAUGGGCUUGAAUGAGAGUUAUUCCCAGAUUCGAGGACAAAUUCUGUUAAUUGAUCCAUUACCAUCCAUUAACAAAGUUUUCUCCCUUAUAAUUCAGGAAGAGAGGCAACGUAUGAUUUCUUCUUCAAGUGUUUCUUUCAAUCAGAACACCACUACAUUACUUGCCAGGACAGUAGCUCCAUCUCCAACCUAUUUUUCUAGACACAAAUCCUCUUAUCCUCGCAAAGAGCGUUCAAUAUGCUCUCAUUGUGGUAUUCAUGGCCACACUGUGGAAAAAUGCUACAAAAUCCAUGGAUUCCCACCUGGUUACAAGUUUACCAAAGGGAAAAAUGCAGUUCACAAUGUAAAUCAGGUCUCUGACAGCACUGUUCCUCGGCUACCUAUCACUUAUGCACAAUGUCAGCAACUCCUGGAGAUGUUCAACCCCUCAAUCUCAGAACGUGAAUCCUCUGUGAAUCAAGUCUCUUCAUCUGUCCAUAAAGAAUAUGAAAUUCUUACUUCAGGUGACACUCCAAUCAAACUAAACCAAGCAGGUACUCUUUCCAGUAUAUUUCCUUUCAAUCCAAAGCAUUCUGUUUUUUCAUCUACCUUAUCUCUUACUCAUCCAACUGCUCUCACAAAUUCUGUCAAAGCCCCUUGGAUAAUUGACACUGGAGCUACAGAUCAUAUGAUUUGUUCUACCUCCUUAUUUACACACAUUACUUCUGUCGUUUCCAAAACAGUAAGGUUACCUAAUGGACAACAUGCUUCAGUUACUCACAUUGGUACCAUUAAGAUUAUAGAAUCUCUUAUUUUAACCAAUGUGCUUUGUAUCCCUUCCUUUUCUUUCAACUUAAUCUCUGUCAGUAAGCUCAUUCAAACCUUACACUGUUGUGUCAUCUUCUUAUCCAAAUUCUGUUUUGUUCAGACUCUUGCAAACUGGAGAACGAUUGGUGUGGGUAAAGAAAAUGGAUGUUUAUACCAUUUGCUGCAAAAUCCGGUUUCUGCUUUAUCUAGGAAUUCUGCAUUUUCCACUCCUGUAAAAACCAUGUCCCAGCCUACAAUAAUGAAUCUAGCUUCUGCUAGUUUCUUUGUUCAUUCUGUAAACAAUAGUCUAUGGCAUUACAGAUUAGGUCACCCCUCAGAUUCUCCCUUGAAAUUGCUUUCUCAUGUAAUUCCUCAAGUUUUACAUGAAUCUAAUAAGACUUGCAGCAUAUGUCCUCUGGCUAAACAACACCGGUUACCUUUCCCACACAGCAUUACAGCUUUUGCACAACCCUUUGAUCUUAUUCACUGCGAUCUUUGGGGUCCUUUUUCCACUAAAUCUAUUAGUGGCUCUUCUUAUUUCCUGACCAUUGUCGAUGAUAAUACCAGGUUCACAUGGAUUCAUCUUUUGGAAAAUAAAUCUCAGACUAGAACUCAUAUUCAAUCCUUUUUCACUUUGGUUGAGACAUAGUUUAAUGCACAAAUCAAGUCUCUUCGAUCAGAUAAUGGAAUUGAAUUCCACAUGCCUCAAUUUUAUGCCUCAAAAGGUGUAGUUCAUCAACUGAGUUGUGUUGAAACUCCACAACAAAACUCAGUUGUUGAAAGAAAACACCAGCACAUUUUAAAUGUUGCCGAUCCCUUCGUUUUCAGUCUCAUCUACCUUUAUCAUUUUGGGGUGAUUGUGUUCUCACUGUCGUGCAUUUGAUCAAUAGGAUUCCUACUCCUGUCUUACAUAACAAAUCUCCUUAUGAAAUGUUGUUCCAAUCUCGUCCAUCUUAUUCCCAUUUAAGAGUCUUUGGUUGCCUCUGCUAUGCAACUACUCUCCUUAGACAUCGCCAGAAAUUUGACUCUAGAGCCAAACCUUGUAUAUUCCUUGGCUAUCCAUAUAACAUCAAGGGCUAUAAACUCUAUGAUUUACAUCUCAACACUGUCUUUGUCUCCCGAAAUGUUAUAUUCCAUGAAGCUGUAUUUCCUUUUUCCCUCAAACAUCAUAUCUCCUCUACUGAUUAUGUCCUUCCUUUACCUCUUACACUACCUGAAUCAGUAGCCCCAUCCCUUGAUCACAUGGAUUCAGCUUCUUUUCCUUUUCACACUAAUACUAGCUCACCCUCUAAUCCCAGUCCAUCUCCUCCCUUAAAUUCUGACUCAGCACCUCUUCUAGCAUCUCCUUCUGAGAUUAUUUCUCAGCCAUGCAGAAAGUCUUCUCGGAUAAAACACAAACCUGGAUAUUUGCAUGACUAUCAUUGUCAUAUUGCAACCUCCUCUUCAGAGCCUGCACCUUCUUCUUCAGUUUCAGGUAUUCCUCAUACAUUUUCCUCUGUCCUUUCUUAUGAUCAUCUAUCUCCUAAUCAGAAAUGCUUCAGUCUUUCUGUAUCUACCCUUGUUGAGCCUACUUCGUAUACUCAAGCUAUGUAUUCUAAGGAAUGGUGUGAGGCUAUGGACAAUGAGAUUAAAGCUCUUGAAUUGAAUAAUAUCUGGACUGUUGUUGAUCUCCCUGCUUCAAAACAUACUAUUGGCUGCAAAUGGGUCUACAAAGUUAAACUCAAAUCUGAUGGCACCUUAGAGAGGUAUAAGGCCAGGCUCGUUGCCAAGGGCUAUACUCAAUGUGAAGGACUGGACUAUUAUGACACUUUCUCCCCUGUGGCUAAGCUCACCACGGUGAGAACUCUUUUGGCAGUUGCUGCUGUCAAGCAUUGGCAUCUCCAUCAAUUGGAUGUUAACAAUGCAUUUCUUCAUGGCGAUUUAGAUGAAGAAGUCUACAUGUCCUUACCACCUGGUUUUGCUAAAAAGGGGGCGUCCAAAGUUUGCAAACUCCAUAAGUCACUCUAUGGUUUAAAGCAAUCUUCGCGGCAAUGGUUUGCCAAAUUUUCCUCUGCAUUGCUUGACUUUGGUUUCGUGCAGUCCAAGGCUGAUUACACUUUGUUUACUCGAUCAUUGGCAGAUUCCUUCAUUGCUAUCUUAGUCUGUAUUGAUGAUAUAGUUGUUGCCAGUGACAAUUCAGAUGCAGUUUCCACGUUUAUUCACUUGCUUAAUAACAAAUUUUAGCUUAAAGAUCUUGGACCAUUGAAGUAUUUCCUUGGUUUGGAAAUAGCUCGCAGUGAGCUUGGCUUAUCCGUCUGUCAGCGCAAGUAUGCCUUGGACAUCCUUGAGACUACUGGUUUGUUAGCUUCGAAACCAGCCAAAGUUCCAAUGGAUCCUAAUGUGAAAUUCUCUAAGGAUUCUGGACCACUCUUAGAUGAUCCUACCUCCUAUAGACGACUUAUUGGCCGACUACUCUAUCUCACCAUCAGUCGUCCUGACAUUUCUUUUGUUGUUCAGGUUUUAAGUCAGUUUAUGGAUAAGCCACGAGUUCCUCAUCUUGAUGCAGCUACUCAGGUCCUACGUUAUAUUAAAGCCUCUCCAGGUCAGGGACUAUUCUUUCCAGUCGCCUCUAGCCUACAACUUAAAACUUUUUGUGAUUCAGACUGGGCUGGUUGCUUGGAUUCUAGACGUUCAGUCAUAGGCUUCUGCGUCUUCCUUGAUAAUUCUUUGAUUUCUUGGAAAUCUAAGAAACAAACCACAGUCUCCCGAUCUUCUGCUGAAGAUGAGUAUAGAGCUAUGGCAUCCACAUGCUGUGAGAUUGUGUGGCUUCAAGCCCUUCUCCACGACUUGCAAAUUCCCCUCCAAACUGCUCUCCUUUACUGUGACAGUAAAGCUGCUCUUCAUAUUGCGGCCAAUCCGGUUUUCCAUGAGCGUACCAAACACAUUGACAUUGAUUGUCAUGUGGUUCGUGAGAAAAUUAUAUCCGGUGUUCUUCGUACUUUUCAUGUCUCCUCUCAACACCAAUUGGCUGACAUUUUUACGAAGGCUCUCCCUUCGUCCCUUUUUCACUUGUUACUAUCCAAAAUGAGUAUUCAUAAUAUCUACUCUCCUUAACAGUUCUUUUAUGAAUCUCAUCUUGAGGGGGCGUAUUGAAUAUACUCAGCACACUCAAGUCUGCUAAUGGAUGAAGUGCAGACAUUGCAUUGAGAAGACAUUGCACUGAUGAGCUGGGAAACUAAAGCUGCUAUAACAAGCUUAGCAGACGGUUAGAGUAGGCACAGCAGGUGGUUAGAUUCUGUUGUAAAGUCUGGUAUUCUGUUGUAAAAUCUGUUAUUUAUAACUGAUUCUGUUACUAUACUACAUGAAGGCUAUAAAUAUUGUAUCAGUUGAAUCAAUGAAUAAUAAGAAAAUCAGUUAAACAUUUUCGUUUCCAAUAUCAUGCUUAUCCAAUAUCAAUCGAAACCAGUAAACGUCCAUGAAUGUUCUAAAUCACUGUAGCAAUCUGGAAGCAGAAAAAUUCUUGAUAUGAAUUAUUCAUAAACAUGCAUGUUCUAAAUAAGGCUUUUGAAUCCUACGCUGUUAUGUCAUUGCAAUCCAAGUCCAUGGUUAUGAGGGAAAUGCUCUGUUUCUGGCACCGGCCUCGUCUUCGCUUCAUCGUUGCUACCCGUUUAAUACUGUAAGUGCUGUGAUAUGCCUCACCAUUUCUUGUAGGUGCGAGGUUGAUGUUCGACAGCUGCAUCAUUACGAGGAAUGAGUCGGUCUCGUUUGCAAGACUUGAAGAAAACAAGAAAGCUGACAGAGGGAGUUUGAAGAACAGCAAGGCAGUCUUAUUAUUCUAUGUGAUUUCUACGGUGCAUAUACAUAGUUUAUAUAAAAAAGAUCUUGUCUAAAUAAAUAAACGGACAGACUAGCAACUAAUCUUUAGGAUUUAAUUACAAAAACUACAAUCAAACUAAAUCUCUAAGAUAUGAUUUACAACUCAAGCUUUAAUUGUUUUGAUUCCGAAUCCUAACAAGACUAGCCACCAAAUUACAUCCAAAUUACAUAUUUGAUUUUUUUCUUUUCCAGUUGCAAUCUGCGGCGGCAUCCCAUUUCCAGGAGCUAAGCUUUAACAAGGUUGCUUAUUCACAUUACUAUUUUGCAUGCAUAAAUCUAUGCUAGAAAUAUUUGGAACUAAUUACUUUGCCAACGCUUCUGUUUGCAUGAUAACACUACCCAAAAGUAGGCAAGGAACAGAGCAUUAGAAUUGGUUGUGAAACGAGGACAGCCCCUGGUUGAUCCGAGUGAUGGAGAAAACGUGGAUGAUUGGAGUUCUCCCAUGGUUCUGAGGUCUUGAAAGAGUUCGACAGCGCCUGUUUUAUUCAAGAAGCUUUUGGUCUUCGUCACCAGGCAUGAGGUAUUUUAGUUGUAAGGAUUCCUAGCUUCUCAGAACUGGAGCUCUGAUACCAUAAAGAAAAUGAUAAUGCAAAUGUUUUCUGUAUUUUCUUUUUUCAAUAUUGCAAAGCUGUACGACAUAUAUAUGCAGUUUACAUACAAUCUGAUCCACCAUUCUAGGAGCUAUUCUGGGAUUAUCUUUGAUAAACUGUUAAGGAAUCGAAAUGUCAAAGCAACCGAUCUCUUCACGGCGAAAUGUACUUCACAUAAAAAGCGCACUCCUAAAUAAAUAAAUAAUGUGAAUACACUAAGAAAGGGUGAUUGAAGUAAAGAUGCAACAACUGCUGCAUGCAUUGGUUCUUUUUUUAUAGAUGUAACACCCAAACCUUGCAUCAAAACUAACCAAAAAAAAAAAACGCAAAUUAAGUGACUCGAAAAUAUGCCAUGUAUCGAAUAAAGCUAAUAAUAAAAAUAAAAUCAAAACACAACCAUGAAGGAAAACAGAAGCAGUACGAAAGAGGAAUCCAAUUCUCUGAAUCUGCCACUCUAGCGUUCUUCUCAUGUCAACCUCCACUUCGUAUCUCAUAAGGUAGCGAGAAUGUUUAUUCAAAACUUCACUGCAACAGAGAAACAUACAAAUAUUUUUUUUAUUUAAUGAAUCCGAAAGCGAAAGAAAAGACUAAUAAAAGGAAAUAGCACAGAAAAAAUAGCAUAAACUGUUGCACGUAAAACCUUAAGAUGUCAAAUGCAUAACUUACCUCAUGUUACUAGCUCCGUUGUUUAGUUUCUUCUUGCACCAUUCCUACGAGCAUUCUUCUUCGUUCUUCUUGCCUUCAGAUUCCAUAGAUCUUCAACCACUUUCAGAAACCAUGCUGGUUUUCUUGUUCUGAACACAACGUAUCCCAUUGUGACUCCAAACACAAACCCACUUCCAUACCCUAUUGCCACAGCUUUCCAUCCAAAUCCUUCUUCAAAGAAUUUUGAAUCAUCUCCAUCGUGAAAGUCUGAUGGCUGCAAUGGUGGUGCCUCGUCACUUUUGCAUUCUUUUGGCAUGGGGAAUCCACAUAAGCCCCAGUUUCCUUCAAAUGAGCUUGCAUUGAACGUGCUGAACUGCGUUCCCCCGGGUACGGGCCCCUUAAGGUGGUUAUGUGAAAGGUUUAUGACUGCAAGAAAUGUUAGAUGUGCCAACUGUACUGGAAUCCUUCCGGUAAGCAAAUUCGAAGACAAAUCUAAUGAUUCCAGAUUGGUCAACAUUCCUAAUGAUGAUUGAAUAUGGCCUGUAAGGGAAUUAUGAGAGAGGUUGAGUUGUAGAAGUGCUUUAAGCUUUCCGAUCUCCUUUGGAAUCUCUCCGGUGAAACUGUUGCUUGACAAAUCAAGUAUUCCAAGAGAGCUUUGGAUUUUCGGAAACUCAAUAUCAAACCCUUUCCAUGUCACUUUUAUGGAAUAGGCAUAGUCAGAGUAACUUCUUGCCAUCAUGGAAACUGAAUUUUGAUCAGAGACCAUCAUUGCUUCAAAACUAUUAAAAUACCAUGUUGGCAAUGAUCCACUCAAAUUAUUGUUGGAGAUGUCGAAAAUCCGUAAUUUGGAGAAGGAAUUAUUAGCAAACGAACCAUUCAUAAAACCCUGGAGCUUAUUGGACUUUAGGACAAGAACAUGCAGCUCUGGAAGCAUUUGAAGGAAAUAGGGGAAUGCACCCUCAAUCUUAUUGUUGCCAAGAUCAAGAACUUCCAACGAUGUGCAGUUGAUGAUAGACGAUGGUAUUUUCCCUUCCAAUUCAUUGCCAUUUAGGUUGAGAUAUCCCAAGCUAUUCCCUUUUGAAAAUGGUGAAAAGAUAGUUCCUUGAAGAUUAUUCAUGCCAAGAUUCAAAAUUGAGAGAGAUUUGCUAAAGUUCCCUAAACAUUGUGGUAUAAAACCACUGAAGCUGUUGUUGGACAAAUCAAGGAGUCGAAGGAAUUUAAGCUUGCAAAUAGAAGAAGAAAUUUCACCUGUUAAUUUAUUAUUGGAUGCAAGAGCAAGGACUUCCAGGUUCUCUUGUUUGAAAAUUGAACUUGGGAUUGGACCAUGCAAGUGGUUGUUUCUCAAAUCAAACAAUUUCAAAGAACAUACUGAUUUGAGAAGGGAUAGGUCCUACAAGUUGAUUACUAGAUAAACGUAAAUUUUCAAGGAGAGUCAGGUUACCUAAAAAAUCUGGAAUCCUACCUGAAAAAUUAUUGCCAUCAAGAUAUAAGGAUUGAAGUUGUACAAGGUUUUUAAGUGAUGAUGGAAUCUGACCACUUAAAUUAGUACCUGAGAGUUCUAAACGAGUGAGGUGUGUGAGAUAGCCGAUCAGGGUUAGAUUUGACCUUGUGAUAUUAGAGUUUUUGAGAGCCAAAACUUCCAACGACUUUAGAUUUGUGAAGAAGUCAUUUUCUAAAUAAACUGAAAUUCUAGUAUGAGAAAGACCCAAUAACCGGAGGCUCUUACUCACAUUGGAUGAAGGAAAAGAGCCAGUGAGGUCGUCGUUGUAUGUCAAAUCAAGUUCUUGAAGGUUUGGUAGGAGAAAGAUGUUACCUGGGAACUUCCCUUUCAAUCCACAACCCCAAAGGCCAAGACCUAACAAGGAUGAGGACAGAUUCGCCAAGGAAUUAGGUGUGACCAAAGGCAUAUUUACAUAACCCAAACGGAGACCUCCUAGCUUGGUUAGGUUUUGAAUAAUCUUGUCAAAAGAACUUGGUUCUACAUUCAAAUUGUCAUUGAAAGACAGAUCAAUUGAAACCAACUCAGUGAGUUGGCCAAGAUCAUCUGGAAUUGAACCUGUAAGAUUGCUGUAUCUAAGAUCCAAGUGCUGGAGGUGCUUAAAUUUUCUCACUGAGGAUGGGAAUUUUCCUUGCAAUCCACAUGAAUAGACUGUGAGUGAUGACAAAGAAGAAGACAGAUUCAUCAAGGAAUUGGGUGCAGCCAAUGACAUGUUCACCCAUUUCAGAUAGAGUUUUCUAAGCUGGGUUAGAUUUUGAACAAGCUUGUCAAAAGAAAUUGGUUCUAGACUUAGAUAGUCGUUUUCGUUUCCAGAGAGAGCAAGUGAAACCAACUCAGUGAGUUGCUCAAGAUCAUAUGGAAUUGGACCUCUAAGAUUGUUAUCUGCAAGAUUCAACUGCUGGAGGUGCUUAAACUUUCUCAUUGAGGAUGGGAAUUCUCCUUGCAAUCCACAGGAAAGGAGUUUGAGUGAUGACAAAGAAGAAGACAGAUUCAUCAAGGAAUUGGGUGUAACCAAUGACAUGUCUACUGCACUCAGAUCGAGUUCUCUAAGCUGGGUUAGAUUUCGAGCAAGCUUGGCAAAAGAAAUUGGUUCUAGACUUAGAUAGUCGAUUUCGUUUCCAGAGAGAGCAAGUGAAACCAACUCAGUGAGUUGCCCAAGAUCAUCUGGAAUUGAACCUGUAAGACUGUUUUUUCUAAGAUCCAACUGCUGGAGGUGCUUAAAUUUUCUCAUUGAGGACGGGAAUUCUCCUUGCAAUCCACACGAAUAGAGUAUGAGUGAUGACAAAGAAGAAGACAGAUUCAUCAAGGAAUUGGGUACAACCAAUGACAUGUUUACCCGACUCAGAUCGAGUUCUCUAAGCUGGGUUAGAUUUCGAACAAGCUUGUCAAAAGAAAUUGGUUCUAGACUUGGGUAGUAGUUUCCAGAGAGAUCAAGUGAAACCAAUUUGGAGAGAUGAGAGAUUUCCGACGGAACUUGACCUGCAAAGCCUGAGAAAUUUAGGUUAAGAUGUGUCAGAUUGGAGAACUGGCCAAAUGAAGAAGAAAUAUGAGAGCUUUGGAAAUCAUUGUCAGAGAGGUCGAGGUUUUGAAGAUGAUGCAGGGAGAAGAGAGAAUUAUUGGGAAGGAAGGUUCCGUGAAGCAGCAGUCUGUACCCUCUUUCCACGACUCUGUCUUGGGAUGCUGGCAACGAUAUGAAGCAGAGCUAUUAAUGGAAAAGGACUCUUUGAAUUGGAGCAAAGAAAGGCUUUGGUCAGGAGCACAGAGAUGAGAUGAAGAGGAGUAAUUUGAUGAAGAAAUUGUUGUGUGAAAAUGGAAGAGAAACAGAAUGGAAGAGAGAAAUUGAGAGAGGGACAGUGGUGAAAACCCCAUGUUGGCUGGCCUUACAGGAUUCGAAAGUAUAUUUGGAGUGUUGAGCGAAAGAUGAGAAAUAAAGAUUCGCAUUGGAACUAUUUAUACACAAACCAAUCAAGAUUGUGCUAUUCAAAUUAUUGUAGAUAUUGAAAGCGGACUUUUACAUGAAAAUAAUUAUAAUAAGAAAAAAAAAAAACAGUUUAUUAGCUUACGACGUGGUCUGUCCACUGGGAAACAUGAGUGGCCAUAAACAAAGAAAGGAAAGUUCAGCGUAGUCACGAAGUCCUUUUUCUUGACCCCAAAGUCUUCGUUUCUAGCAAGGGUUGUUUGAUAUUGAGGUUACUGUUAUGGUUAUGGUUUUAAAAAAAUUGUUUUAUAAAAAAUAUUUUUAGUUGAGGUUGGUUUGAAAAAAUAUAUGUUUUGUUAAAAUUGUGGUUGAAAUUGAGGUUGAACAAAAAAUAGUUUAAUGUGUUUGGUAAAAAAAUACUUUUCAAAUUGAGGUUAUAAAAUAAUUAAUAUAUAUAUAUAUAUUAAUGAUUUUUAAUUUAAAUAUUUUAGAUUUAACCACUGUUAUUAUAUUAUAAAAUAAAUAUAAAGAAUCAAAUAUUAUCUUUCAUUAAACUAUAUGCAAUGUCAUUACAAUACAAAUCUAUCAACAAGGACUAUAUUUUUCAUGUUUUAAGCGCGCAACAACAAAAACUGAAUUUUUUAUCAUUAAGUGAUCCUUUAAGUUAAUAAAACACAAUAAAAAAAUAAAAAACUGAAUUUCUUUAUAUGUUAUUAAAUAUAUAAAUAUUAGUUUUUCAAGUAAAACACAUUUUUAAAAAAAAUUUACAAUUUAUUAUGUACAAAAUUCAUUCGACAAAACUACAGAAAAAAAAUUUUUGAGCGUGCAAUAAAUUAAGUAAAAUAUUAUCAUGAAUAAAAUUGAGAUUACAAUACGAGUAAAUUUAAUUCACCUUAAACUAAUGUUUUUUAAAAAUAACAUUGUUCAUGUUCACAUGAAUAAUGCGAGUAAAAUCAAUUAAUUGCAUUAAUAUUUCAAGAAAAAAAAACUUCUUGCAAUGUUUUUUAAAAAAAAAAAAAAAAAAAAACUAUAAUCGUGCGAGUGAAUUAAUUCACUCGCACUGUUGCAACAGUGGAGCCAUGCUCCACUGUUCUGCUUUUGAAUCCUAUGAGAAGCAACAAAUUUUGCUGCUUCUCCAAAACAUGUGGCGCGGCUGAGAAUUUGAUGGGUCCCACCAUCAAAAAGCAGUUUUCUUUUGUUAACCAAACGGCAUUUGGUGUGGCUGCGGGUGAACCUCAAAAUUUGUUACCAAACGGGCACUAAGUGGGUGUUUGGUUUUGUGGUUGCAGGUGAGGUUCACCCGCAACCACAUAUUUUAGUGUUUGGUAAUAGGAAAAAAAAUGAUUUUCACUGGUGGGACCAUCAAUUUUAACGGCUGCGUCACAGGUUCGGAGAAGCAGCAUUUUGCUGCUUCUCAUGCUGAGAAUAACAUCAACAGUGGAGCCAUGCUCCACUGUUCAUUGACACAUUGAACAGUGGAGCCAUGCUCCACUGCGCACUGUUCGCUAAGUGAAUAUUUUUUUUUUAAAAAAAAAAACCAUGAAAAUGAGUUUAAAUUUUUUUUUUGUUUUUUUAAAAAUUAUAAUAACAUACCAUUUAUGAAAUUUGAUCGCAAUUCCAAUUAUGUUAUUACCAAGUCCGGCCCAGUUAAAAAAAAUUCAGUUUUUAUUUUUAUUUUAAUUGUGUUCUAUUUAAAAAAUUAAAAAGAGAUCGUUUGAUGACGUAAUAAAAGAUUCAGUUUUUGUUAUUGUGCGCUUAAGAAACCAUGAAAAAUAUAGUCCUUGUUGGAUAGAUUUCGCAUGUGAUGACAUUGCACAUAGUGUAAUGAAAUAAUAAAAAAUAUUUGAUAUCAAUAUUAUUUAUUUCAUGAUGUAAUAACAGUAGUUAAAUUUACAAUAUUUAAAUUAAAAAUCAUUAAUAUAAAUAUAUAUAUUUUUUAAUUAUUUUAUAACCUCAAUUUGAAAAGCAUUUUUAUUAACCAAACACAUUAAACUACUUUUUUUUUAACCUCAAUUUCAACCAUAAUUUUAACCAAACACCUAUUUUUUCAAACCAACCUCAACUAAAAGUACUUUUUAUAGAACAAUUUUUUUUUAAAUCACAACCACAAAAGCUACUGCAAUACCAAACACAUCCUAAAUGAUUUCCCCGCAAAUUAGUGGUGCUAAUAAUUAAUUUUAUAGAUACUGGAUGUGGAAUUUUACAUGAAAAUAUUUUUAGGGAAAAAGAAUUACGACUGCUUUACAUACUGACUUUAGUUUCCAAAAAGAAAUCGAGGCACAACAUUUUCAAUAGAAAGAAUUGUUUUUUAAUAAUUUACAAACGUAGUUAAUUCACAUCUUAGGUAUGUGGCCAUGCAUGAUUUAAGCACCAAAACGUAGAUAAAGUAUACAAGAAAUUACUGUGUCUAUUAUUGAAUACCCUUUUAAUGUUUUGAACUUAAACUGUGAGAUUAUUGAAUAGAUCAUCCAUUUCUCUUUGGAGUACUAUUAAUGACUAAAAUGCCAUUAAAAUAAUUAGCAUGUUACUACCUGCUCCAUUUUAAUGAUUUGAUUUGAAGUGGUAGUCCUAAAAGACGUUUCCAUAAUUCAAGUGCAAGCUAUUUAAUUUAUUUAUUUUAUUGUUGCUAGCGAACUCUUCUUUGUUUCUUUUUCAUGAGUUGCCUAUAGAGCAAACGGUUUUUUAUUGUAUAAUCUACGUUCACAAAUGAAGUGGCUCCAUGAUUUUUGUUGAGAGUAGAUAAUAUCCCUACAUUUACAUUUGCAGCAAGUUUUUGUGCCAGUCUUCGGUGCUGAAUAUGGAAUUGAAGAUUGAAUUAUUCAAUUAUAAAUAUUUCUGUACAAGUAGGUCCCUUAGUUGACUAAACAAUAGUGUUGGAAACACGGCAAUAUUAAUUUUUAUAAUUGAUAUUUUUUGUGGAAAUUAUUUCUUAAUAUUCAUAUAUAUAAUUCAUUAACAAUUUUGGGUAAAGAGACGUAAGGAUGAUAUCCCUUCAUAUUUACAUCUGCAGAAAGUGUAUGUGCUAAUAGAUACAGUUUGUGCUGUAAUUAGAAAUUUUUUUGUAGCUCGUCUGAUGGUCUGUCCUUUUCCUCCUUGACCUAACUUGGAAAUAAUGUCCAACAAUUACGUGUGGAAAUGAUGGAAUUGAAUGUUGAAUUAUUCAAUUGCAAAUAUUUCCAUACCAGUAGGUCCCUUAAUAUUUCCGUACCUCCUUGACUAUAAUGUGAAUCUCAGAAGCAGGCAUUGUCCCACCUCUGGACUUCGAGCAAAAGCUCUUGAAAAAAUUGGGAAUUGUAUAUGACUUAUUCCCUGGGAAACAUAAGUGGCCGUAAACAAAGAAUGGAAUGUACAGCGGAGUCACGGAACUAAACUACCAAAGUCUUUUAGGGGAAAUCACUUACGACUUGGUCUGUCCUUUUACUUGACCCCAAAGUCUUUGUUUCUGGUAAAUAAUUUUCCCGCAAAUUAAUUAAUCUUAUAGAUAUUGGAGGUGGGAUUUUACAUGAAAAUAUUAUUAGGGAAAAAAAUUGUGACUGCUUAAUGUGAAUGUUCAGAGAAGUUUUUCUAAAGUGUAUUUAGGAAUGGAAUUUAUGUGAAGCUUGCUUUACAUACUGAAUUUAAUUUCCCAAAAAAAAAAAAAAUCCGACCACAAAAUUUUUCAAUAAUUUACAAACGUAGUUAAUUCACAUCUUAGGUAUGUGGCCAUGCUUGAUUUAAGCACCAAAACGUAGAUAAAGUAUACAAGAAAUUACUGUGUCUAUUAUUGAAUAGAUCAUCCAUUUCUCUUUAGAGUAAUAUUAAUGCAUAUAAAUCUCAUAAUAUUCUUUAUAUUUAUGUUAGCUGUAUAGCAUCUCAAGGGCUUUUUUCUAUUUGAAGGUUUUAUUAUUAUUGCAUUCUACCUCAAAAUCAAUAAAACUUUGAUUAUUAUAUAUAUAUAUAUAUAUAAAAUCAUAUUAAAUCAUUAUUGUUCACAACUUUGUGUACCCAUCGAGCAAAUCGGAUGUGUCCAAUUGGAGAGAUAAAAUUAUGGAAGGAAAAAUAUUGGAAACCAAAUAUAGAAGAUAAAAAACUGAUCCUUUAGUCAAAUAAAAUACGUUCUAGCAAAUUCCUCAAGUGAUUUUAAAUCUAAGAGCAACCUAUUUAAUUAGAAUAUUUCAUUUAUAUUUUUUAGUAGAGAUUCCUAAUGACAUUUUUUCUUGAACAAGUGAUUUCUCGGCACUCCUCAAAUAAUUUCUAGCCUGACAGACAAACAAACAAAUAAAUCACUUAAAAUUCUCAAACAAUUAUAUAUAUAUCACAGUUAAUUACUUUUUGACAUUUUUUAUCACAUUUUAUUUAUUUAUUUAUUUAUUUUAUAAGUUGGUGAUUAUUUUUUAUAGAAUGUUUACGCACAUAUUGAAUAGAUAUGAACGUCAAUUACCUCACAAAGGGUGUAAGCAAAGGGGAAAAAAAAGAACAAAAAAAGAGGAAAAGUAAAUACUUGAGAUAUAUAAAAUAUGACUAAAAUGACUAAAAUGAGAAACCCUAUGUCAAACUAUCGCUUUAUAUUAUUUUAAAUGACUAAAAUGCCAUUAUAAUAAUUAGCAUGUUACUACAUUUUAAAUGAGUUUAUGAUUUGAAUUGGUAGUCCUAAAAGUUCUUUCUUUUUUCAAGUCUGUCCCUUUCAUUGACCUUCAAGUCUCCGCAACUAAUUAAAAUAUAGUGUCAAACAAGUGGCGCAAAACAUGGGGCUGAAGGUUUAAUUAUUGAAAACUUCAAUAUUUCCAAGUGUUGGAAACACCGCAAUAUAUAUUAGUUUGCAGGAUAAUUUUUGUAAUAUUGGGCUUUUGUUGCGGAGUAAUUGAUUAAUUCAAGUGUUUUUUAUUUAAGAAUAUAUUAAAAUAAUAUUUUUUAUUUUUUAAUAAUUAUUUUUAAAAUCAGUAUAUUAAAAUGUUACUACAUUUUAAAUGAGUUUAUGAUUUGAAUCGGUAGUCCUAAAAGUUCUUUCUUUUUUCAAGUGUGUCCCUUUCAUUGACCUUCAAGUCCCCGCAACUAAUUAAAAUAUAGUGUCAAACAAGUGGCGCAAAACAUGGGGCUGAAGGUUUAAUUAUUGAAAACUUCAAUAUUUCCAUACAAGUGUUGGAAACACGGCAAUAUAUAUUAGUUUCCAGGAUAAUUUUUGUAAUAUUGGGCUUUUGUUGCGGAGUAAUUGACUGUUUGAGAUUACUGAUAGUAGUUAUGAAUUAAAGUGUUUUUUAUUUAAAAAUAUAUUAAAAUAAUAUUUUUUAUUUUUUAAUAAUUAUUUUUAAGAUCAGCACAUUAAAAUGAUUUAAAAAAUAAUUUUUAGAGAAUUUUAUUUUUGAAAUUUAAGGGAAUGCGGUUUCAAUCGCGUUCCCAAACGAUAAAUGUUUGGAAAUAUAGUUGUGGUUACUUUUCAAAGUGUUUUUCACUUGAAAAUGUAUCAAAAUAAUAUUUUUUUUUUAAAAUAUUAUUUUUGAUAUUAGUGCAUCAAAAUGAUCUUAAAAAAAAAAAAAUUUCUUUUUCAAAAACACUUUUAAAAUACAAAAACAAACAAAACCUCUAAAUCAUAUACAUAAUAAGAAUAUGCAAUGAGUUUUUUUUCUUAAUGAAAUACGAGAGAUUUAUUCGAUCACUAUUAUAGCCAUUAAAAACAUAGCUUAAUAGAUAGAAAGAAGAGCACUGAAAAACUCAGAAGAGUGAGAAAACUUACUAGCACAACUAAAUCCACAACUAAGUCAUUUUCUCUAAGAACUCUUGCUUGACUAAAUGAUCUGCAACAAUAUUAUUUCUUGUAUAUAAUUUUUCAAAAAAAAAAAAUGAACACACAAGAUUCUCAAAAGGAUGAAUUUUCUUUAGUAAUUUACACGUAUAGUUAAUUCACAGCUUAGGCAAAUGGCAAGAUUCCUCGAUUAAAUAAUAUUUUAUUUCAUUAAUAAAUUUUCAUCAUACCAAGGGAAUUAAUUUGUAGAUGUUUAAUUGUAUUGUAAUUUUUCGACUUCAAAGAUUUUGAGAAUACUCCAAUUGCAUAACUUGGAAAUUCUAGGGUUCUAUCGUGGAAAUGGAGGAUUACAAAAAAGGUUUUAGGGAUGAGCUUUUUGCACCAAAGGCUGCACCUUCCAGCUAUAAAGAUGGAUUUCCAAGGUUUGAUAACAGCCAUUUAAAUAGCUUUUAGACCGACAAUUACAUGAAAGGAAAAAUUAGAAUUUCAAAACUGGUGGGAUAAGUAAUAUAAAAUCUAAAAUUACGUUAAAAAUUCAAAAUUCUACGCCUGAUUUGAAGUCCUUACCGAAGAAGUGGGCGAAGCCAGCGCUCCUAAAUAAAUUUGAGCGUGUUUUAACUGUCAUAUAAAAAGUUACAGUUUAUUUAUUUUUAUAACUAUAGGUAUUCGAGCUGGUUUGUCCAUACCUCAACUAAUUUCACGGGUUUUGAAGUUAAUAAACAUAUAAGUCUCUAGUAGUCCUAAGAUUUGUAAGAUUUGAACUGGUGAUCUCUAAAGAGCAAACUUAAAACUUGACCAAUUAAAUUACACCCUUCAAAAUUAAUUAUAGUCUAUUUUAUUAUACAGGUCAUUUAGCGCGAUGAGAUCACUUAUUGAGUUUAAAUUAAUUUGUCUAUAUGAUCCAAUAAAAUAUUUGCUAGGUUAUUUAUAUUGUCCAACUGAGAUAGAUUUGUAUCCAAUUGAUCACAUCCUCCUGCAUCAAAGAUUAUUACAUGGCUAAUAAUCAAUAAUGUACAAUCUCUCAAACUAUAUCGUGCAAUUAUUGAGGUAUCCAUAGACAUCUUAAUUUAAUUAAAUCGAAGUAUGAGGAAAUAAAGUUGUUAUGGUUGUCUCUCAUGGAAUUAAAAAGCUAAUCCUAAAAGGUGUAAUUUAACUAGUUAGAUUCUAAAUUUUUUUUUUAGGUCACCAGUUAAUUCAAGUUCUACAAAACUUAUGGCCACUAAAAACAUAAAUAAUCGUUAAUUUUAGGGUCCAUAAAAUUAAUUGAAAUACAUACAAAUUAACCCGGACACCAAAGUUAAUAAUAAUAAUAAUAAAAAAAAGCUUGUACAUAAGUUUUCACUCUGUUCCUGGUUUAUUAAAUCUCUUGUCAUGACCUAUUUCAUUGGUGGCUCGCCCCAUGCAAUUAAUAUUCAUGUGGAUUAUCCAAAGUAGCAUUUGAAUUCUGUAAAUUAACUUCCUUUUUGUUCAAUUUCCUAUGUCUUUAAAAUUUUGUUAUGGACAUAAGCCUAAUUAAGUAGACAACAUUGUAGUUUCGAUAUGCCAUAAUUUUUAUCUGAAUGUCCGAUUGAGGCUUGUGAAAACAAUGUAAAAAAAGAGAGAGAAGGGAAUUGAACUAGUUUGAAGAGUUUGAUUUAUGUAAUUCAUAAUCAAAAUCUGGAAUUAGCUAGAUUUGAAGCAAAGUGUGCUACGUACAAUGGCUAAUUUUAUCCUGAAAAUUCCCAUUUUGACCUGUGAGGCUAAGGCAAAUGAAACAGUUGCUAAUAAACAUUUCAUCCAUAGUUUUGAAACCCAGCCCAACACGGUAGGUCAACCCGUGAUCCGGAUGAUCCAGGGCUGUAAUAGGACCGGGUUGAAGAAAAAACAAAAGAAAAAAAAAUCUGGUGUAACCUGGUGGGCUGGUCAAGACCCGGCCUUAAACUCGUUGACUUUUAUUUUAUUUUUAUUUUUGUUUUAUUAAAACGACGUUGUUUUGAUUUUAAAAAAAAUGCCUUGGAUCGGGCCGGCCACCAAGCCGGGUCUUAAAAAUAUGAUUUCAUCUAACAUAUACACAUAAUUAAAGCAAAACAUUCAUGACUCUUUGGCAGAAUGUCGAUAGUUACUGGCCUUAGAGAGCAUAUUGUUAGAACCACUUAGGUGGAGAUUAGUGGUUCGGUCUAUGCCAUUAAGGUUACAGAAAAACCAUGCUUAGAGGUUAAUUCAAGUAGGGUUGAUAAAAAGAAGGUUGUGGAAAAUUGGGCUGGGAAGUUGAAUCCUUCCAACUUUGAUACUUUAGAAUCCUCCCAACAUGAUUCUCUCAAAUCAUCAUAUGCUGCUGCUGAGUAAUUUUGUUCUGAGGAGCCAAUGGAAGCUGGAAUACAUGGAGCAAAAAUUGAUGACACGAAUGAGACUGCUGUAUGUAGCCAUGGUAUGGAUAGGGAAUUCUCUUUUUGUGAUCCUGGGUGAACAUGUACUGCCUGAAAGAAUUAACAAGAAGGGUACUUUGAAUGUUGAUUUGCUUUCUCCAGAGAAGGGUUCUUUGAGGAAAUCUGUUGCUGAGGAGACAGAAACAACCGAUACCGACCCGAUAAAUGCAACGCUGCACUAACAAGCUUCCCUGCUACCAUAGCUGCUAUAAAAAGCAAUGGAGUCCAAAUUGUUGAAAAGCAGUCAGAGGAAAAUUUAAAUAUUGAUGGUGGGCUUAUCUCUAAUGCUUAUAUGGAUGAGUGGAGGAAUGGAUCACAGUGUAUUGGGCUAGAGGAAAACACACUCUCAAUAGUUCCAGUUAACACACAUGAGCCUCUGUUAACUACUUACUAUAAGGCUUCGGACCAACAACUGAUCUCAUUCAUGCUUAAAUGGCCCGGUGAAAUAUAAUAAAAACAAGAUGUUUGAGGUCUUCAUCACACCUAUAGCAGAACCAGAGGAGGUAGCUGAACUAGAGAAGGAAAAGAAGAGAAGUUCGAACAAAAGAAAGAAGAAACUUUCCUUAAAAUCAGCAACUCGUAAGGGGAGAACAUCAAGAAGUAGAAAAGAGAAGUCUGCUAACCUGGAAGAGUGAACUUUAGCAAUUAGAUCGACAAGGGGAAUCAAGAAAUGGAUUCCAGAUGGCAGCGUCUUCAAGUACUUUCCAAAUCUCUGUACGACAAACGCUUUCUUCUCCGGCACAAUCCGUACCCCCCAAUUCACAGGUGGCGUAAUCUCAUAACUAAUUAAUUAUAAUAAAUUAAUAAAAAAAAAUGGAAGAAAGACAGGGAGGGAAUGGGGAAUGAAUGUACCUGGUGAAGGGGUCGCGGCCGGUGCUGAGGAGGCGGACGGAGAUGGUGGAGGAGAGAGGAGAGGAAAGGCGGUUGUUUUGGGCUAAGUGAAAAGAAGGGGGUUUAAAUAAGGGAGAAUUGGAGGAGGGAGCGAGGAGGGUUCUGCCUCUGGAAGCGGUGGAAGCCGAUAAGGAGGAGAGGUGGUGGGAGGUUCUUACGGCGUUGUUGAGUAAUAAAUGACUCCUCCUCCUCCACAUUUUUCCGUCUCUCUUUGUUGUUGCUGUUGAAAAACCCUUGGCCUCCUUAAUUAUCGAACCCUCCCUCACUCUCACACUCUUCACUCUGAUCUGCUCUGCUGACCCUCUCCCCAAGUCACCCUCUCUCUUUUGUUCCCCCUCUGCCCACUCAAAUAAUUUAUUUUCCGAAGUUGUAAUUGACAGUGUGUGGUGGGUGGGUUUUGUUUUAGGCCCGACGUUUUAUAAUGGGCCUGUCUUUUUUUUCUUUUAGAGUUUUUGUUAAAGAAUUGAGAAAAUCGAGACUAAUAAUCUCUGAACAUGAAGAACAAUGAGAGAACGGCAUGAUUUUUAUAAUUUUAAUUUUAAUUUCUUAAGUUAGAGAGCUUAGAUUUAUAUAAAAGUGAGGUUUUACAAUUCAUGAAUAAUAAGACAAUUUAAUCAUAUUUAAUCAGAAAAACAAUAGGAUUAGAGGAUAAAAAGUAAUCCAAAUUACUUUGAUUGUUCGAACAAAUUCGGGUAGUAAAUUUCUUAAAGUUUCGGAGAAGAGGUAAUUCAGAGAGAAUUACCUCACAUUUAUUUGAGAUAAUUCAUUUAAAAUUCAAAAAUUUAAAUCAUCCAAAUUAUAAUUCUAAUUUAUUUGUAAGGUUUUAGAAAUAAUGAGAUUGAAAUUUUUCUUAGUAAAAAAUUUCUUGAGCCUAGUUUUAUUAAUCCAUAUUUUAAUGAAUUUCUUAUAAAAACUUAAUGGGGAAAUGGUAACAAUAGUAUUAAUUUUGGAUUACCUGAUUUUUUCAAAAUAGGGUUUAUACAUACUGCUAUAAAUUGAUAAUAAUAUUUGCAUCUCAGAAACAUAGAAACAUUUGAUCGUAAAUCUUCUGUUACUUUUGUGUUGCAUUAAUUACUGCUUGGAUCGACACGAAGGUAAAGAGCUAAGCAAGUUAGCUAGUAAUUUAACCGAUAAUAAUUAAGUAUUAAAGUGUUAAUCAAGAAAAAAAACAUUUCUAGUUUGAAUCUUAUCACUUGGAUUUCCCAACCCAACUUACAUAUAAGUAUGUGAUUGAUUAAAACUCUCGAGUUGAUAAAUUUUUGACCGUGAUUUAGCUCUCGAAAGUGAUCACUCACCCGUAGGCUAUGUCAGGAGUGAGUGCUUGCUAUGGAUAUAAGAAGAAGAAAAAAAAAAACGAAGGUAUGGAGCUCUACGUAUCCUUGUUAUUAGUAAAGGUUAUAUUCAUGUGGAAAAGUGGUUAUCUCUUACAUGAACUUUGGUGCUCCCUUCAAAAGACUGAAGAAUUUGAAAGUAGAAUGCAAAUGUGAUUCAUAUGUGCUACCGGCGAAUAUCUCAACCUUCUUACGUGAUGCUGAAUACAUAAAAAUGGGAGAACGAAGCGAAGAAGGAAUCGUAGGUAAGUACAUUUUCAUAAUUUUAUUUCUAUUUGCAGUCUGAAUCUUAAUUGAUUUUCGUUGAUUGUUAAUAUUCUCAAUCAAUUUCAUUGCUUAAUCUCGUUUGCCGUAUUCAUGCUUAUCCAAUAACAAUCGAAACCAGUAAACGUCCAUGAAUGUUCUAAAUCACUGUAGCAAUCUGGAAGCAGAAAAAUUCUUGAUAUGAAUUAUUCAUAAACAUGCAUGUUCUAAAUAAGGCUUUUGAAUCCUACGCUGUUAUCUCAUUGCAAUCCAAGUCCAUGGUUACGAGUGAAAUGCUCUGUUUCUGGCACCGGCCUCGUCGCUUCAUCGUUGCUACCCGUUUAAUACUGUAAGUGCUGUGAUAUGCCUCACCAUUUCUUGUAGGUGCGAGGUUGAUGUUCGACAGCUGCAUCAUUACGAGGAAUGAGUCGGUCUCGUUUGCAAGACUUGAAGAGAACAAGAAAGCUGACAGAGGGAGUUUGAAGAACAGCAAGGCAGUCUUAUUAUUCUGUGUGAUUUCUACUGUGCAUAUACAUAGUUUAUAUAGAAAAGAUCUUGUCUAAUAAGUAAACUGACAGACUAGCAACUAAUCUUUAGGAUUUAAUUACAAAAACUACAAUCAAACUAAAUCUCUAAGAAAUGAUUUACAAAUCAAGCUUUAAUUGUUUUGAUUCCGAAUCCUAACAAGACUAGCCACCAAAUUACAUCCAAAUUACAUAUUUGGUUUUUUUUUUUUUCCAGUUGCAAUUUGCGGCGGCAUCGCAUUUCCAGAAGCUAAGCUUUAACAAGGUUGCUUAUUCACAUUACUAUUUUGCAUGCAUAAAUCUAUGCUAGAAAUAUUUGGAACUAAUUACUUUGCCAACGCUUCUGUUUGCAUGAUAACACUACCCAAAAGUAGGCAAGGAACAGAGCAUUAGAGUUGGUUGUGAAACGAGGACAGCGCCUGGUUGAUCCGAGUGAUGGAGAAAAAGUGGAUGAUUGGAGUUCUCCCAUGGUUCUGAGGUCUUGAAAGAGUUCGACAGCGCCUGUUUUAUUCAAGAAGCUUUUGGUCUUCGUCACCAGGCAUGAGGUAUUUUAGUUGUAUGGAUUCCUAGCUUCUCAGAACUGGAGCUCUGAUACCAUAAAGAAAAUGAUAAUGCAAAUGUUUUCUGUAUUUUCUUUUUUCAAUAUUGCAAAGCUGUACGACAAAUAUAUGCAGUUUACAUACAAUCUGAUCCACCAUUCUAGGAGCUAUUCUAGGAUUAACUUUGAUAAACUGUUAAAGAAUCGAAAUGUCAAAGCAACCAAUCUCUUCACGGCGAAAUGUACUUCACAUAAAAAGCGCACUCCUAAAUAAAUAAAUAAUGUGAAUACCCUAAGAAAGGGUGAUUGAAGUAAAGAUGCAACAACUGCUGCAUGCAUUGGUUCUUUUUUUAUAGAUGUAACACCCAAACCUUGCAUCAAAGUUAACCAAAAAAAAAACACGCAAAUUAAGUGACUCGAAAAUAUUCCAUGUAUCGAAUAAAGCUAAUAAUAAAAAUAAAAUUAAAACACAACCAUGAAGGAAAACAGAAGCAGUACGAAAGAGGAAUCCAAUUCUCUGAAUCUGCCACUCUAGCGUUCUUCUCAUGUCAACCUCCACUUGGCAUCUCAUAAGGUAGCGAGAAUGUUUAUUCCAAACUUCACUGCAAUAGAGAAACAUACAAAUAAUUUUUUUUAUUUAAUGAAUCCGAAAGCGAAAGAAAAGACUAAUAAAAGGAAAUAGCACAGAAAAAAUAGCAUAAACUGUUGCACGUAAAACCUUAAGAUGUCAAAUGUUUGCAUAACUUACCUCAUGUUACUAGCUCCGUUGUUUAGUUUCUUCUUGCACCAUUCCUACGAGCAUUCUUCUUCGUUCUUCUUGCCUUCAGAUUCCAUAGAUCUUCAACCACUUUCAGAAACCAUGCUGGUUUUCUUGUUCUGAACACAACGUAUCCCAUUGUGACUCCAAACACAAACCCACUUCCAUACCCUAUUGCCACAGCUUUCCAUCCAAAUCCUUCUUCAAAGAAUUUUGAAUCAUCUCCAUCGUGAAAGUCUGAUGGCUGCAAUGGUGGUGCCUCGUCACUAGUGCAUUCUUUUGGGAUGGGGAAUCCACAUAGGCCCCGGUUUCCUUCAAAUGAGCUUGCAUUGAACGUGCUGAACUGCGUUCCCCCGGGUACGGGCCCCUCAAGCUGGUUAUGUGAAAGGUUUAUGACUGCAAGAAAUGUUAGAUGUGCCAACUGUACUGGAAUCCUUCCGGUAAGCAAAUUCGAAGACAAAUCUAAUGAUUCCAGAUUGGUCAACAUUCCUAAUGAUGAUGGAAUAUGGCCUGUAAGGGAAUUAUGAGAGAGGUUGAGUUGUUGAAGUUCUUUAAGCUUUCCGAUCAUCUUUGGAAUUUCUCCGAUGAAACUGUUGUUUGACAAAUCAAGUAUUCUAAGAGUGCUUUGGAUUUUCUCGAACUCAUACUCAACCCCUUUCCAUGUCACUUUCAUGGAAUAGUCCAUCAUGUAAAAUGAAUUUUGAUCAGAGGCCAUCAUUGCUUCAAACAUAUUGAAAUACCCUAUUGGUAAAGGUCCCCUCAAAUUAUUGUUGGAGAUGUCAAAGAUUUGCAAUUUGGAGAAGGAAUUAUUAGCAGUCGGAUCAUUCACAAAACCAUGGAGCUUAUUGGACUUUAGGACAAGGAUAUACAGCUCUGGAAGCGUUUCUAGAAAAUAGGGAAAUCUGUCCUCAAUUUUAUUGUCACUAAGAUCAAGAACUUGUAGCAUUGUGCAGUUGAUGAUAGACGAUGGUAUUUUCCCUUCCAAUUCAUUGCCAUUUAGCUUGAGAUAUACCAGGUUAUUCCCUUUUGAAAAUGGUGAAAAGAUAGUGCCUUGAAGAUUAUUCAUGCCAAGAUUUAAAAGUGAGAGAGAGUUGCUAAAGUUCCCUAAACAUUGUGGUAUAAAACCAUUGAAGCUGUUGUUGGACAAAUCAAGGACUCGAAGGAAUUUAAGCUUGCAAAUAGAAGAAGAAAUUUCACCUGUCAAUUUACUGUUGGAUGCAAGAACAAGGGCUUCCAGGUUCUCUUGUUUGAAAAUUGAACUUGGGAUUGGACCUUGCAAGUGGUUGUUUCUUAAAUCAAACAAUUUCAAUGAACGAGUACUGAUUUGAGAAGGGAUAGGUCCUACAAGUUGAUUACCAGAUAAACCUAAAUUUUCAAGGAGGUCAUGUUACCUAAAAAAUCUGGAAUCCUACCUGACAAAUUAUUGCCAUCGAGAUAUAAGGAUUGAAGUUGCACAAGGUUUUUAAGUGAUGAUGGAAUCUCACCACUCAAAUUGUUAUUGGCAAGGUCUAACCGAGUCAGCUGUGUGAGAUAACCAAUCAGGGUUAGAUUUGACCUUGUGAUAUUACAGUCUCUGAGAACCAAAUCUUCCAGCAACUUUAGAUUAUUGAAGAAGUCAUUUCCUAAAUAAACUGAAAUUCUCGUACGAGUGAGACCCAAUAACCAGAGGACAUUACUCACAUUGGAUGAAGGAAAAGAGCCAGUGAGGUUGUCGUUGUAUGUCAAAUCAAGCACUUCAAGGUUUGGUAGGAGAAAGAUGUUAUCUGGGAACCUCCCUUGCAAUCCACAACCCCAAAGAGCAAGAGCUGACAAAGAUGAUGACAGAUUCGCCAAGGAAUUAGGUAUGACCAAAUCCAUAUUUACAUAACCCAAACGGAUACCUCUUAGCUUGGUUAGGUUUUGAAUAGUCUUGUCAAAAGAACUUGGUUCUACACUCAAAUAAGCAUUGAAAGAGAGAUCAAUUGAGACCAACUCAGUGAGUUGCCCAAGAUCAUCUGGAAUUGAACCUGUAAGAUUGUUUUUUCUAAGAUCUAACUUCUGGAGGUGCUUAAACUUUCUCAACGAGGAUGGGAAUUUUCCUUGCAAUCCACAGGAAUAGAGUACAAGUGAUGACAAAGAAGAAGACAGAUUCAUCAAGGAAUUGGGUACAACCAAUGACAUGUUCACCCACCACAGAUGGAGUUCUCUAAGCUGGGUUAGAUUUUGAACAAGCUUGUCAAAAGAAAUUGGUUCUAGACUUAGAUAGUCGUUUUCGUUUCCAGAGAGAGCAAGUGAAACCAACUCAGUGAGUUGCUCAAGAUCAUAUGGAAUUGAACCUGUAAGAUUGUUAUCUGCAAGAUCCAACUGCUGGAGGUGCUUAAAUUUUCUCAUUGAGGAUGGGAAUUUUCCUUGCAAUCCACAUGAAUGGAGUACAAGUGAUGACAAAGAAGAAGAUAGAUUCAUCAAGGAAUUGGGUUCAACCAAUGACAUAUUCACCCACCUCAGAUAGAGUUCUCUAAGCUGGGUUAGAUUUUGAACAAGCUUGUCAAAAGAAAUUGGUUCUAGACUUAGAUAGUCGUUUUCGUUUCCAGAGAGAGCAAGUGAAACCAACUCAGUGAGUUGCCAAGAUCAUCUGGAAUUGACCUGUAAGAUUGUUAUCUGCAAGAUCCAACUGCUGGAGGUGCUUAAACUUUCUCAUUGAGGACGGGAAUUCUCCUUGCAAUCCACAGGAAAGAGUUUGAGUGAUGACAAAGAAGAAGACAGAUUCAUCAAGGAAUUGGGUUAACCAAUGACAUGUCUACUGCACUCAGAUCGAGUUCUCUAAGCUGGGUUAGAUUUCGAGCAAGCUUGGCAAAAGAAAUUGGUUCUAGACUUAGAUAGUCUUUUAAGCCCCCAGAGAGAUCAAGUGAAACCAAUUUGGAGAGCUGAGAGAUUUCCGACGGAACUUGACCUGCAAAGACUGAGUAAUUUAGGUUAAGAUGUGUCAGGUUGGAGAGCUGACCAAAUAGAGAAGAAAUAUGGGAGCUUUGGAAAUCAUUGUCAGAGAGGUCGAGGUUUUGAAGAUGAUGCAGGGAGAAGAGGGUGCUAUUGGAAUGGAGGGUGCCAUAAAGCAUGCUGCAAGCAAGGUCCAGUCCAGUGACAUGCCCUGUUUUCAUGUCACAGGUGAUGCCAUCCCACAAGCAGCAGUCUGUACCCUCUUUCCACGACUCUGUCUUGGGAUGCUGGCAACGCCCUGAAGCAGAGCUACUAAUGGAAAAGGACUCUUUGAAUUGGAGCAAAGAAAGGCUUUGGUCAGGAGCACAGAAAUGAGAUGAAGAGGAGUAAUUUGAUGAAGAAAUUGUUGUGUGAAAAUGGAAGAGAAACAGAAUGGAAGAGAGAAAUUGAGAGAGGGACAGUGGUGAAAACCCCAUGGUGGCUGGGCUUACAGGAUUCGAAAGUAUAUUUGGAGUGUUGAGCGAAAGAUGAGAAAUAAAGAUUCGCAUUGGUACUAUUUAUACACAAACCAAUCUACGUUCACAAAUGAAGUGGCUUUAUGAUUUUUGUUGAGAGUAGAUAAUAUCCCUGCAUUUACAUUUGCAGCAAUUUUCAUUUGGUCCUGAAUAUGGAAUUGAAGGUUGAGUUAUUCAAUUGCAAAUAUUUCCGUACAAGUAGGUCCCUUUGUUGACUAAACAAUAGUGUUGGAAACACGGCAAUAUUAAUUUUUAUAAUUGAUAUUUUUUGUGGAAAUUAUUUUUUACUAUUCAUAUAUAUAUAGUUCAUUAACUAAUGAAGUAUUGAUCUAGCGAUUAAGAAGGUACCGCUAGGGGCAAGGGUGAGAACACAAGUUCGUUUUUCAAGGAGCAUAUUUGUUGGGAGGGACAACUAUAAAUCCCGAACGGGACUAAUCUCAUCCUUUUGCAUGAGUUGUCUAUAGAGGAAACGAUUUAUUAUUUUAUAAUUUACUGGCUCCAUGAUUUUUGUUGAGAGUAGAUAGUAUCCCUACAUUUACAUUUGCAACAAGUUUAUGUGCCAAUCUUCAUUUGGUGCUGAAUAUGGAAUUGAAGGUUGAAUUAUUCAAUUGCAAAUAUUUCUAUACAAGUAGGUCCCUUAGUUGACUAAACAAUAGUGUUGGGAACACGACAAUAUUAAUUUUCAUAAUUGAUAUUUUUUGUGGAAAUUAUUUUUUACUAUUCAUAUAAAUAGUUCAUUAACUAAUGAAGUAUUGGUCUAGCGAUUAAGGCACCGCUAGGGGCAAGGGUGAGAACACAAGUUCGUUUUUUAGGGAGCACAUUUGUUGGGAGGGACAACUAUAAAUCCCAAACGGGACUAAUCUCACCCUUUUGCAUGAGUUGUCUAUAAAGGAAACGAUUUAUUAUUUUAUAAUUUACUGGCUCCAUGAUUUUUGUUGAGAGUAGAUAAUAUCCCUACAUUUACAUUUGCAACAAGUUUAUGUGCCAAUCUUCAUUUGGUGCUGAAUAUGGAAUUGAAGGUUGAAUUAUUCAAUUGCAAAUAUUUCUAUACAAGUAGGUCCCUUAGUUGACUAAACAAUAGUGUUGGAAACACGGCAAUAUUAAUUUUCAUAAUUGAUAUUUUUUGUGGAAAUUAUUUUUUACUAUUCAUAUAAAUAGUUCAUUAACUAAUGAAGUAUUGGUCUAGCGAUUAAGGCACCGCUAGGGGCAAGGGUGAGAACACAAGUUCGUUUUUCAGGGAGCACAUUUGUUGGGAGGGACAACUAUAAAUCCCAAACGGGACUAAUCUCACCCUUUUGCAUGAGUUGUCUAUAAAGGAAACGAUUUAUUAUUUUAUAAUUUACUGGCUCCAUGAUUUUUGUUGACAGUAGAUAAUAUCCCUACAUUUACAUUUGCAACAAGUUUAUGUGUCAAUCUUCAUUUGGUGUUGAAUAUGGAAUUGAAGGUUGAAUUAUUCAAUUGCAAAUAUUUCUAUACAAGUAGGUCCCUUAGUUGACUAAACAAUAGUGUUGGAAACACGGCAAUAUUAAUUUUCAUAAUUGAUAUUUUUUGUGGAAAUUAUUUUUUACUAUUCAUAUAUAUAGUUCAUUAACUAAUGAAGUAUUGAUCUAGCGAUUAAGGCACUGCUAGGAGUAAAGGUGAGAACACAAGUUCGUUCUUUAGGGAGCACAUUUAUUGGGAGGGACAACUAUAAAUACCGAACAGGACUAAUCUCACCCUUUUGCAUGAGUUGUCUAUAGAGGAGACGAUUUCUUAUUUUAUAAUUUACUGGCUCCAUGAUUUUUGUUGAGAGUAGAUAAUAUCCCUACAUUUACAUUUGCAGCAAGUUUAUGUGUCAAUCUUCAUUUGGUGCUGAAUAUGGAAUUGAAGGUUGAAUUAUUCAAUUGCAAAUAUUUCUAUACAUGUAGGUCCCUUAGUUGACUAAACAAUAGUGUUGGAAACACGGCAAUAUUAAUUUCCAUAAUUGACAUCGGCAAUAUUAAUUUUCAUAAUUGAUAUUUUUUGGAAAUUAAUUAUUUCUUACUAUUUAUAUAUAUAGUUCAUUAACAAUUUUAGGUAAAGAUACGUAAAGAUGAUAUCCCUUCAUAUUUACAUAUGCAGAAAGUGUAUGUGCUAAUAGAUACAGUUAAUUUGUGCUGUAAUUAUAAAUUUUUUUUGUAGCUCGUCUGAUGGUCUGUCCUUUUCCUCGUUGACCUAACUUGGAAAUAAUGUCCAACAAUUACGUGUGGAAAUGUUGGAAUUGAAUGUUGAAUUAUUCAAUUGCAAAUAUUUCCAUACCAGUAGGUCCCUUAAUAUUUCCGUACCUCCUUGACCGUACAAUAGCGUUGGAAACACGGCAAUAUUAAUUUUCAUAAUUGACAUUUUAUAUGCAAAUUUCUGAAUAUUCACAGUUCAUUUAUGAUUUUAGGUAAAGAUAUAUCUAAACCCUGAAGUUAAAAGCCUCUAAUAAUCUUGAAUUGGGUUUGUGACACUUUAACUAGUAAUUUAUAUAAAAAAAAUUAAAAACUUAAUUAAUUACACUACAUCUCCUAGAAUUUACAUUUACAUUUGCAGGAAGUGCAUAAUUAAUAGAUACAGUUUGUGAUCUCAUUGCAACUUUAUUUUGGAGCUCGUCUGAUGGUAACUGUUCUUGGGACAUCUACCGCUCUAUGCCUAGGUGGCUUCUAAUUUUAAUACUAAUUAAAUCUUCUGCAAAAUGCUGUGAAAUUAUUAUUGUGAUUAUUAACAAGAACAAGGAACUGCUUACUUGAAGGGUUAAACAAUUAUACGUUUUUUAUCAGAAAAAAUAAGCAUUUAUAGUUUAAAAAUAACAUUUCCAGGCUGGGAAUUCAGGCAAACGCAGAUACUACACAUCAAGAACAUUGCAAAAAUUUAACUACUAUGCAGCGAACAAUGGUGGAACGAUAUUUAUUUAUCUAGGGAUUAUGUUAUUUAGGUUCGCUAGUUAGUUCAACAAACUUCUAUUAUGUAUAAUGUGAUUGCAUAACACACUUAUGCCUUACUUAAUACUAUCAGCUUCUUUUAAAAAAAAGAACAUUGCAAAAAUGAUUCAUUGACAAAUAAGACUUCCCAGUAAAAAGAAGUUCAUAAUUGGAGCACAAGAUCAGAGAAAAGGUUCAUUGAUGAAUGUCAUGUGUGUUGAAGACCUGUGUAUUAUAUUAUUUUAAUCAUAUUCAGUUUAAUUUUUUCAAUUUAGUAUUUUAAGUUUAGUAGGAUUCAUUGAACUAUAUAAAAAAACACUUGUAUAUAACAACAACUUCAGCACUAUCAAGCCUCAAGGCUUCUCUUGUUCUUCUUCCUCUCUUUGAAUCUCUUCUUGUUCUUAUAAUGUGAAUCUCUCCCACCUCUGGACUUCGAGCAAAAGCUCUUAAAAAAAUUGGGAAUCGUAUAUGACUUGUGCUUGAUUCCCUGGGAAACAUAAGUGGCCGUAAACAAAGAAUGGAAUGUUCAGCGGAGUCACGGAACUAAACUACCCCUUUUUAGGGGAAAUCACUUACGACUUGGUCUGUUCUUUUACUUGACCCCAAAGUCUUUGUUUCUAGUAAAUAAUUUUCCCGCAAAUUAAUUAAUUUUAUAGAUAUUGGAGGUGGGCUUUUACAUGAAAAUAUCAUUAGGGAAAAAAAAUUGUGAUUGCUUAAUGUGAAUGUUCAGAGAAGUUUUUCUAAAGUGUAUUUAGGAAUGAAAUUUAUGUGAAGCUUGCUUUACAUACUGAAUUUAAUUUCCCAAAAAAAAAAUCCGACCACAAAAUUUUUCAAUAAUUUACAAACGUAGUUAAUUCACAUCUUAGGUAUGUGAAGAAUGUAAAGAAUGUUAAUUCACGUAGUUAAUUCAAUAAUUUUUAAAACUUAAGAUCACUAACUCAUCUUAUAUAAAGAAUAUUAUACUUUGAUCAUGUUACAUGUUAUCUUAAUCAAGGUAACAAAAAAGUAGACAAUGGAUAUAUCAUGAAUUAUAUGAAGGUAUUUGAAUGAUUAAGACAAGAUUCAUUACACUAGAUGAAUAAAAAAAGAAACAUCUAUUUUCAUAUAGUAUUGACUGAGAAUUAUUUUGGCCAAUGUGGAAUGAGAUUUGAAAAGAGUUUCAAAUCUUAUUCAAACGAUUAAUAACUAUUAUAUAGAGAAUAAACAUGAUUUAACAUGACAGAUAUACUAUAUGCUUUAAUGUUAAAUUAGAACAUUAUUGAUGAAAGGAUAUCCAUUAUACUGAGAAAUUGGUCACUAAAAUGUUAAGUCAAACCACUAAUGAUUUCCAAUAUUUAGAGAAUCAUGACAUGUUACUAGACGAUGCACCUGAUCUUUAAAUAUAAAUUAAUCAAUUGUUGAAUUAAUAAUAAAUUAAAUUAUUUAAUCUAUUUAAUUAGAAUUAUAAUUUAUAUUUAGGCCUACAUAUUAGGAACCUAAUAAGUUACACGCAUUAAGAAUCAUUAAUCAAAAAUUAAACUAGAAUGAUUUAGUUAAGUAUGACUUGAUUACAAUAUAUUUUAGAAAUUAAGGAAUAGAUUAUAAUUAAUACAAAUAUUAUAUUUCUAGACUUGUAAAAUCAAGUAAGGACUUAAUUGAGCUACUUUCUGUAUUAUCUUUAAAUAAUAUAUGGAUAUUAUUUAAGGGACAAAUAAAUAUUUUAUGUGAAGCUUGCUUUACAUACUGAAUUUAAUUUCCCAAAAAAAAAAAUCCGACCACAAAAUUUUUCAAUAAUUUACAAACGUAGUUAAUUCACAUCUUAGGUAUGUGGCCAUGCAUGAUUUAAGCACCAAAACGUAGAUAAAGUAUACAAGAAAUUACUGUGUCUAACCAAUUCGGGUAGUAAAUUACUUAAGGCUUCGGAGAAGAGGUAAUUCAGAGAGAAUUACCUCACAUUUAUUUAAGAUAACUCAUGUAAAUUUCAAAAACUUAAGUCAUCCAAAUUAUAGUUCUAAUUUAUUUGUAAGGUUUUAGAAAUAACGAGAUUGUAAUUUUUCUCAGUAAAAAAUUUCUUGAGCCUAGUUUUAUUAAUCCAUAUUUUUAAUGAAUUUCUUAUAAAAAAUUAAUGGGGCAAUGGUAAGAACAGUAUUAAUUUUGGAUUACCUGAUUUUUUUAAAAUAGAGUUUAUACGUACUGCUAUAAAUUGAUAAUAAUAUUUGCAUCUCAGAAGAAACAUUUGAUCGUAUGUGCAAAUGUGAUUCAUAUGUGCUCCCGGCGAAUAUCUCAACCUUCUUACGUGAUAUAUGAUGCUGAAUACAUAAAAAUGGGAGAACGAAGCGAAGAAGGAUUUAAUUACAAAAACUACAAUCAAACUAAAUCUCUAAGAUAUGAUUUACAAAUCAAGCUUUAAUUCUUUUGAUUCGAUCCGAAGCCACCAAAUUACAUCCAAAUUACAUAUUUGGUUUUUUUUUUUUUUUUCCAGUUGCAAUUUGCGGCGGCAUCGCAUUUCCAGGAGCUAAGCUUUAACAAGGUUGCUUACUCACAUUACUAUUUUGCAUGCAUAAAUCUAUGCUAGAAGUAUUUGGAACUAAUUACUUUGACAACGCUUCUGUUUGCAUGAUAAGACUGCCCAAAAGUAGGCAAGGAACAGAGCAUUAGAAUUAGUUGUGAAACGAGGACAGCACCUGGUUGAUCCGAGUGAUGGAGAAAAAGUGGAUGAUUGGAGUUCUCCCAUGCUUCUGAGGUCUUGAAAGAGUUCGGCAGCGCCUGUUUUAUUCAAGAAGCUUUUGUUCUUCGUCACCAGGCAUGAGGUAUUUUAGUUGUAUGGAUUCCUAGCUUCUCAGAACUAGAGCUCUGAUACCAUAAAGAAAAUGAUAAUGCGAAUGUUUUCUGUAAUUUCUUUUUUCAAUAUUGCAAAGCUGUACGACAUAUAUAUGCAGUUUACAUACAAUCUGAUCCACCAUUCUAAGAGCUAUUCUAGGAUUAACUUUGAUAAACUGUUAAAGAAUCGAAAUGUCAAAGCAACCAAUCUCUUCACGGCGAAUUGUACUUCACAAAAAAGCGCACUCCUAAAUAAAUAAAUAAUGUGAAUACACUAAGAAAGGGUGAUUGAAGUAAAGAUGCAACAACUGCUGCAUGCAUUGGUUCUUUUUUUAUAGAUGUAACACCCAAACCUUGCAUCAAAGUUAACCAAAAAAAAAAACACGCAAAUUAAGUGACUCGAAAAUAUUCCAUGUAUCGAAUAAAGCUAAUAAUAAAAAUAAAAUUAAAACACAACCAUGAAGGAAAACAGAAGCAGUACGAAAGAGGAAUCCAAUUCUCUGAAUCUGCCACUCUAGCGUUCUUCUCAUGUCAACCUCCACUUGGUAUCUCAUAAGGUAGCGAGAAUGUUUAUUCCAAACUUCACUGCAAUAGAGAAACAUACAAAUAAUUUUUUUUAUUUAAUGAAUCCGAAAGCGAAAGAAAAGACUAAUAAAAGGAAAUAGCACAGAAAAAAUAGCAUAAACUGUUGCACGUAAAACCUUAAGAUUUCAAAUGUUUGCAUAACUUACCUCAUGUUACUAGCUCCGUUGUUUAGUUUCUUCUUGCACCAUUCCUACGAGCAUUCUUCUUCGUUCUUCUUGCCUUCAGAUUCCAUAGAUCUUCAACCAAUUUCAGAAACCAUGCUGGUUCUCUUGUUCUGAACAAAACGUAUCCCAUUGUGACUCCAAACACAAACCCAUUUCCAUACCCUAUUGCCACAGCUUUCCAUCCAAAUCCUUCUCCAAAGAACUUUGAAUCAUCUCCAUCGUGAAAGUUUGAUGGCUGCGAUGGUGGUGCCUCGUCACUGUUGCAUUCUUUUGGCAUUGGAAAUCCACAUAAGUCCAAGUUUCCUUCAAAUGAGAUUGCAUUAAACGUGUUGAACUGCUUUCCAGUGGGUAUGGGCCCCUCAAGCUGGUUAUGUGAAAGGUUUAAGACUCCAAGAAAUGUUAGAUCUGCCAACUGUACUGGAAUCCUUCCAGUAAGAAAAUUUGAAGACAGAUCUAAUGAUUCCAGAUUGGUAAACAUUCCUAAUGAUGAUUGAAUUUGACCUGUAAGGGAAUUCUGAGAGAGGUUGAGUUGUUAAAGUCCUUUAAGCUUUCCGAUCUCCCCUGGAAUCUCUCCGAUGAAACUGUUGUUUGACAAAUCAAGUAUUCUAAGAGCGCUUUGGAUUUUCGUGAACUUAAUAUCAAACCCUUUCCAUGUCACUUCUAUGGAAUAGGAAUAGUUAGGGUAAUUUCUUGCCAUCAUGUAAAAUGUAUUUUGAUCAUAGACCAUCAUUGCUUCAAGACUAUUAAAAUACCCUGUUGGCAAUUGUCCACUCAAAUUAUUGCUGGAGAUUUCGAAGAUCCGUAAUUUAGAGAAGGAAUUAUUAGUAGUCAAACCAUUCACAAGACCCUGGAGUUUAUUGGAUUUUAGGAUAAGAACAUGCAGCUCUGGAAGCAUUUCUAGGAAAUAGGGGAAUGUAUCCUCAAUUUUAUUGUCGCCAAGAUCAAGAAUUUCCAGCAUUGCACAGUUGAUGAUAGAUAAUGGUAUUUUCCCUUCCAAUUCAUUGCCAUUUAGGUUGAGAUAUCCCAAGUUAUUCCCUUUUGAAAAUGGUGAAAAGAUGGUGCCUCGAAGAUUAUUCAUGCCAAGAUUCAAAAUUGAGAGAGAGUUGCUCAAGUUCCCUAAACAUUGUGGUACAAAACCACUCAAGCUGUUGUUGGACAAAUCAAGGAGUUGAAGGAAUUUAAGCUUGCAAAUAGAGGAAGAAAUUUCACCUGUUAUUUUAUUGUUGGAUGCAAGAGCAAGGGCUUCCAGUUUCUCUUGUUUGAAAAUUGAACUUGGGAUUGGACCAUGCAAGUGAUUGUUUCUUAAAUCAAACAAUUUCAAUGAAAGAGUACUUAUUUGAGAAGGGAUAGGUCCUGAGAGUUGAUUACUAGAUAAACCUAAAUUUUCAAGGUGGGUUAGGUACUCUAAAAAAUCUGGAAUUCUACCUGAAAAAUUAUUGUUAUCCAGAUACAAGGAUUUAAGUUGCACAAGGUUUCUAAAUGAUGAUGGAAUCUCACCACCCAAAUUAUUACCUGCAAGGUCCAAACGAGUGAGCCAUAUAAGAGAACCAAUCAGGGUUAAAUUUGAACCUAUGAUAUUACUGUUUCUAAGAGCCAGAACUUCCAAUAACUUUAGAUUUGUGAAGAAGUCAUUUUCUAAAUAAACUGAAAUUCUAGUAUGAGAAAGACCCAAUAAACAGAGGGCAUUACUGACAUUGGAUGAAGGAAAAGAGCCAGUGAGGUCGUCGUUGGAUGUCAAAUCAAGUGAUUCAAGGUUUGGUAGGAGAAAGAUGUUACCUGGGAACUUCCCUUUCAAUCCACAACCCCAAAGGGCAAGACCUGACAAGGAUGAGGACAGAUUCGCCAAGGAAUUAGGUGUGACCAAAUCCAUAUUUACAUAACCCAAACGGAGAUCUCUUAGCUUGGUUAGGUUUUGAAUAAUCUUGUCAAAAGAACUUGGUUCUACAAUCAAAUAGUCAUUGAAAGAGAGAUCAAUUGAAACCAACUCAGUGAGUUGUCCAAGAUCAUCUGGAGUUGAACCUGUAAGAUUGCUGAAUCUAAGAUCCAAGUACUGGAGGUGCUUAAACUUUCUCACUGAGGAUGGGAAUUUUCCUUGCAAUCCACAGGAAUAGAGUACAAGUGAUGACAAAGAAGAAGACAGAUUCAUCAAGGAAUUGGGUACAACCAAUGACAUGUUCACCCACCUCAGAUUGAGUUCUCUAAGCUGGGUUAGAUUUCGAACAAGCUUGUCAAAAGAAAUUGGUUCUAGACUUAGAUAGUCGUUUUCGUUUCCAGAGAGAGCAAGUGAAACCAACUCAGUGAGUUGCUCAAGAUCAUAUGGAAUUGGACCUGCAAGAUUGUUAUCUGCAAGAUUCAACUGCUGGAGGUGCUUAAACUUUCUCAUUGAGGAUGGGAAUUCUCCUUGCAAUCCACAGGAAAGGAGUUUGAGUGAUGACAAAGAAGAAGACAGAUUCAUCAAGGAAUUGGGUGUAACCAAUGACAUGUCUACUGCACUCAGAUCGAGUUCUCUAAGCUGGGUUAGAUUUCGAGCAAGCUUGGCAAAAGAAAUUAACUUACGACGUGGUCUGUCCACUGGGAAACAUAAGUGGCCAUCAACAAAGAAAGGAGAGUUCAGCGUGGUCACGAAGUCCUUUUUCUUGACCCCAAAGCCUUUGUUUCUAAUAAUUAAUUUUAUAGAUACUGGAGGUGGAAUUUUACAUGAAAAUAUUUUUAGGGAAAAAGAAUUACGACUGGUUUACAUACUGACUUUAAUUUCCAAAAAGAAAUCGAGGCACAACAUUUUCAAUAGAAAGAAUUGUUUUUUAAUAAUUUACAAACGUAGUUAAUUCACAUCUUAGGUAUGUGGCCAUGCAUGAUUUAAGCACCAAAACGCAGAUAAAGUAUACAAGAAAUUACUGUGUCUAUUAUUGAAUACCCUUUUAAUGUUUUGAACUUAAACUGUGAGAUUAUUGAAUAGAUCAUCCAUUUCUCUUCAGAGUAAUAUUAAUGACUAAAAUGCCAUUAAAAUAAUUAGCAUGUUACUACCUACUCCAUUUUAAAUGAGUUUAUUAUUUGAAGUGGUAGUCCUAAAAGACAUUUCCAUAAUUCAAGAGCAAGCUAUUUAAUUUAUUUAUUUUAUUGUUGCUAGCGAACUCUUCUUUGUUUCUUUUGCAUGAGUUGCCUAUCGAGUAAACGGUUUCUUAAUUAUUGUAUAAUCUACGUUCACAAAUGAAGUGGCUUUAUGAUUUUUGUUGAGAGUAGAUAAUAUCCCUACAUUUACAUUUGCAGCAAGUUUACAUACCAAUUUUCAUUUGGUGCUGAAUAUGAAAUUGAAGGUUGAAUUAUUCAAUUGCAAAUAUUUCUAUACUAGUAGGUCCCUUAGUUGACUGGACAAUAGUAUUGGAAACAGGGCAAUAUUAAUUUUCAUAAUUGACAUUUUUUGUGGAAAUUAAUUAUUUUUCCAUAAUUGACAUCAGCAAUAUUAAUUUCCAUAAUUGACAUCGGCAAUAUUUCAGAAUUUUUUUUGUAGCUCGUCUGAUGGUCUGUCCUUUUCCUCCUUGACCUCCAAGUCUUCGGAACUUGGAUAUAGUGUCCAACAAUUACGUGUGGAAAUGGAGUUGAAUUAUUCAAUUGCAAAUAUUUCCAUACCUGUAGGUCCCUUAAUAUUUCCGUACCUCCUUGACUAUGCGUUGGAAACAUGGCAAUAUUAAUUUUUGAAAUUGAUAUUUUUAUGCAAAUUUUUGAAUAUUCACAGUUCAUUUAUUAGGUAAAGAUAUUAUAGACUUCAAAGUUAAAAAUCAUGUAAGUAUUUAAUGACUCGAACUGAUUUUAUAAUACUUAAAUUAAUAAUUUUUAAAAAAUAAAUUUAAAACUUAACCAUAUAAGCUAUCCUUUCAGGAUUGAUAUCUCUAAGCUUAAGAAUGAAUUCCAGUGAUGAUCAUGAUCCCGUCACCUUGCUUUCAUGCACAGGAGGGGAUUCAGUACCAACGUAGAUGAAAGUAUACAAAAAUUGUUGCAUCUGUUACGUCUAUGUUAAAUAAUCUUCAUUUAUCCAUGUAUGCCUCCAAAAAAUCAUUUGAAUACCAUUUUAAUUAAUCUAAAAACUAUGUUUAAAUAUUGUUUUAGUCCUAGAUAUGAUUUAGAGCUCAAACAACUUAAAUUGUGGAAAAUAAAUAUUGAAUAUGUCAAACUAGUGAGAAAACAAUUUGCAAGGAAAACAUUCCAAAACCAUUCGCGAACCAAAUAACUGGAAGGAUAGAUAAAAAAAAAAUAAAAAAACCCUGAUGAAGAAAGUCUUCUUCACCUCCUUAUGCCAACUCCAAUUCAAUCUGUAGAUGUAGUCAACAAGUUCUUAUAAUAACAUUACUCAAUAAUUCCUAAAAAAACAAAACAGCAUACUAAAACUAACAAAUCAUGAAUAUUACAUAAAUAAGGGACAUGCAUAAUUUUUAAUUAAAUUCAUGGGCACAUUAUAUUUUCCAUACUUACCAUGGAGAAAUAAAACAAAUCAAGUAAGAAAUGUACAUGUAUUACAUGUGUUUGAUAACAUGAUACAUAGUAUUUUAAAAAAAUAUUUUUCAAUUAAAAUUAUAUUUUUUUAUAUUUUAAAUUUUGACAUUAACAUAUAACUAAAAUCAUCAAAAAAAACCUAAAAAAACAUCAAUUUAAUAUUUCUUUAAGUUAAAAGUAAUUGUAAAAACACUUUGAAAAACAAUUUAACUAUGUUAGAAAAUUGUAUAAAUCAUAUAUUGAGGUCUCACUUAAUAGCUUAUGUUUUUUGGUGAGACAACUCUUUAAUAUGAUAUCAGAGCCUUAAAGAUUAAGUGAUUAUGAAUUUGAAUUUUACCAUCCUUAUUCUCUCUUCUAAUUAAAAUUUAAUUCAUAGCAUAAGGUAAUGCCGGCCCGUACAAGUUUCAAGUUCAAAGAGCUUUCAUUUGAAGAAGUAUGUUAGAGAGUAAUACAAAAUCAUAUAUUGGGGUCUCACUUAACAUAUUAAACUUUUGGGUUGAGAUGAUUUUUUGAUUUGGUAUUAGAACCUUAGCAGUCACGAGUGUGAAUCUCAUAACUUUAAUUAUAUUUGAUAAAAAUUAAGUAUAAGAUAGUUGAAUCCGUGCAGAUUACUUGAGAAGGUGUAUUAGAAAAUUAUAUAAAUCAAAUAUUAAAGUCUCACUUAACAAUUUAAGCUUUUAAGUCAAAUGAUUCUUUACACACCACAAUACAAAACUCACACCGAAAUCUUUGUGCAAAAUCAUGAGGUGAUUACUAAAUUCAAGAGCAAGCUAUUUAAUUUAUUGUUGCUAGCGAACUCUUCUUUGUUUCUUUUGCAUGAGUUGCCUAUCGAGUAAACGGUUUCUUAUUGUAUAAUCUACGUUCAUAAAUGAAGUGGCUUUAUGAUUUUUGUUGAGAGCAGAUAAUAUCCCUACAUUUACAUUUGCAGCAAGUUUAUGUGCCAAUCUUCAUUUGGUGCUCUUCCAUUUGGUGCUAAUAUGGAAUUGAAGGUUGAAUUCUUAUUGCAAAUAUUUCUAUAUAAGUAGGUCCCUUAGUUGACUGGAUAAUAGUGUUGGAAACACGGCAAUAUUAAUUUUCAUAAUUGACAUUUUUUGUGGAAAUUAAUUAUUUUUCCAUAAUUGACAUAGCAAUAUUAAUUUCCAUAAUUGACAUCGGCAAUAUUUCAGAAUUUUUUUUGUAGCUCGUCUGAUGGUCUGUCCUUUUCCUCCUUGACCUCCAAGUCUUCGGAACUUGGAUACAGUGUCCAACAAUUACGUGUGGAAAUGAUGGAGUUGAAUGUUGAAUUAUUCAAUUGCAAAUAUUUCCAUACCAGUAGUUCCCUUAAUAUUUACGUACCUCCUUGACUAUGCGUUGGAAACAUGGCAAUAUUAAUUUUCAAAAUUGAUAUUUUUAUGCAAAUUUUUGAAUAUUCACAGUUCAUUUACAAUUUUAGGUAAAGAUAUUAUAGGCUUCGAAGUUAAAAAAUCAUGUAAGUAUUUAAUGCUCUGAUUUUAUAAUACUUAAAUUAAUAAUUUUUAAAAAAUAAAUUUAAAACUUAACUAUCCUUUCAGGAUUGAUAUCUCUAAACAUGGCAGAGGCGUUUCGUCCGUUGGCGCGGACGUUUCUUCAUUAAAGGCGUCGGUUACGGAGCAUUUAGGAGGCCAGACGUUACCACCACCGAGGCUGCCGCUGGCUCUAUAAAAGCUGAGCGAAGGAGACCUCGCGAAAGAGAGGAGAAGACAGGGAGGAAACCGAGCAAGACAGAAAAGAAAAAACCCACAAAACAGAGACAAACAGUAGUUCCCACAGAAAAAACAGAGAUCAAUACAAGCAGAAAUCCCACGUUGAUAUCAUCGUCCUCUCAAUCGUCCCUCUCCCUUGCAAAUCAGAAAGAGGAAGAACCCAAGCAGCGAGCUGUCACCUUCACCAUCGCCGAAACAAAAGGAAAACAGAAAGGGAAGGUCAUACAGCAGAUGAGAGCGAAAUCACUGUGCUGACCAGCCUCCUCGCAAUCUCCAGAAACAGGUAAGCCGUUCUCAUCUUUCUCUUCAUUCUUGUUUGAAAUUGUGCAAAUGCAAGAACUGUGCGAAGGUAGGUAAUUUAAUUACCUUCGCACAGUUGCUGCACGCGUGAAAUUGCUUCACGCGUGCAGUUUAAUUAAACUCUGCCGGGCCACUGGAUUGGGCCAGUGGCCGGGCCGGCUGGGCCCAGUCCAGCCUCUUUUGGGCUGAACUGGGCCCGGCCCAAAAAAUAUAGAUAAUAAAAAAUAAAAAAAAUGAUAAGGGUAAAAAAAAAUGAUCAGAGAAAAGGUUCAUUGAUGAAUGACAUGUGUGUUGAAGACCUGUGUAUUAUAUUAUUUUCAUCAUAUUCAGUUUAAUUUUUUCAAUUUAGUAUUUUAAGUUUAGGAGGAUUCAUUGAACUAUAUAUAAAAAAACACUUGUAUAUAACAACAACUUCAGCACUAUCAAGCCUCAAGGCUUCUCUUGUUCUUCUUCCUCUCGUUGAAUCUCUUCUUGUUCUUAUAAUGCGAAUCUCAGAAGCAGGCAUUCUCCCACCUAUGGACUUCGAGCAAAAGCUCUUAAAAAAAUUGGGAAUUGUAUAUGACUUGUGCUUGAUUCCCUGGGAAACAUAAGUGGCCGUAAACAAAGAAUGGAAUGUUCAGCGGAGUCACGGAACUAAACUACCCCUUUUUAGGGGAAAUCACUUACGACUUGGAGCCCGUUUGGUGCUGCGUUUGUACUUGUAUUUUGGUAAAUUUUGAUUUUUUUUAGAUAAAAUUGAGUGCGGUUUGUACUUUUUGGAUCGUUUUGAUGUGCUGAUAUCAAAAAUAAUUUUUAAAAAAUGAUAAAACAUUAUUUGCAUGUAUUUUGACACGAAAAGUUAUUUGAAAAGUAACCGCUACCACACUGCCAAACACACUCUUGGUCUGUCUUUUUUACUUGACCCCAAAGUCUUUGUUUCUAGUAAAUAAUUUUCCCGCAAAUUAAUUAAUUUUAUAGAUAUUGGAGGUGGGGUUUUACAUGAAAAUAUUAUUAGGGAAAAAAAAUUGUGACCGCUUAAUGUGAAUGUUCAGAAAAGUUUUUUAAAGUGUAUUUAGGAAUGAAUUGUAACUGCUUAAUGUGAAUGUUCAGAGAAGUUUUUCUAAAGUGUAUUUAGGAAUGAAAUUUAUGUGAAGCUUGCUUUACAUACUGAAUUUAAUUUCCCAAAAAAAAAAAACCCGACCACAAAAUUUUUCAAUAAUUUACAAACGUAGUUAAUUCACAUCUUAGGUAUGUGGCCAUGCAUGAUUUAAGCACCAAAACGUAGCUAAAGUAUACAAGAAAUUACUGUGUCUAUUAUUGAAUAGAUCAUCCAUUUCUCUUUAGAGUAAUAUUAAUGCAUAUAAAUCUCAUAAUAUUCUUUAGAUUUAUGUUAGCUGUAUAGCAUCUCAAGGGCUUUUUUCUAUUUGAAGGUUUUAUUAUUAUUGCAUUCUACCUCAAAAUCAAUAAAACUUUGAUUAUUAUAUAUAUAAAAAAUCAUAUUAAAUCAUUAUUGUUCACAACUUUGUGUACCCAUCGAGCAAAUCGGAUGUGUCCAAUUGGAGAGAUAAAAUUAUGGAAGGAAAAAUAUUUUAAACCAAAUAUAGAAGAUAAAAAAUAUUUUUUAGUAGAGAUUCCUAAUGACAUUUUUUCCUGAACAAGUGAUUUCUCGGCACUCCUCAAAUAAUUUCUAGCCGGACAGACAAACAAACAAAUAAACCACAUAAAAUUCUCAAACAAUUAUAUAUCACAGUGAAUUACUUUUUUGUUAAUUUUAGGGUCUAUAAAAUUAGUUGAGAUACAUACAAGCUGAUCCGGACAUCCACGUUAAUAAUAAUAAAAAAAGCUUAUGCAUAGAAUCUCACUCUGUUCCUGGUUUAUUAAAUCUCUUGUCAUGACCUAUUUCAUUGGUGGCUCGCCCCAUGCAAUUAAUAUUCAUGUCGAUUAUCCAAAGUAGCAUUUGAAUUCUGUAAAUUAACUUCCUUUUUGUUAAAUUUCCUAUGCCUUUAAAAUUUUGUUAUUGACAUAAGCCUAAUUAAGUAGACAACACUGUAGUUUCGAUAUGCAAUAAUUUUUAUCUGAAUGUCCGAUUGAGGCUUGUGAAAACAAUGUAAAAAAUAUAUAUUAAAAAAAUAUUUUUUAUUUUUUAAUAAUUAUUUUUAAAAUCAGCACAUCAAAACGAUCUAAAAAUAUUUAAAAAAUAAUGUUUAGAGAAUUUUAUUUUUGAAAUUUGAGGGAAUGCGGUUUCAAUCGCGUUCCCAAACGAUGCGUGUUUGAGAAUAUGGUUAUGAUUGCUUUUCAAAGUGUUUUUUACUCGGAAAUAUAUUAAAAUAAUAUUUUAAAAAAAAUUAUUUUUGAUAUUAGUGCAUCAAAAUAAUUUUAAAAAAUAAAAAUAAUUUUUUUUUCAAAAACACUUUUAAAAUACAAAAAAUAAACAAAACCUCAAAAUCAUAUACAUAAUAAGAAUAUGCAAUGAGUUUUUUUUUUCUUAAUGAAAUACGAGAGAUUUAUUUGAUCACUAUUAUAACCAUUAAAAAUAUAGCUUAAUAGAUAGAAAGAAGAGUAUAGAAAAACUCAGAAGAGUGAGAAAACUUACUAGCACAACUAAAUCCGCAACUAAGUCAUUUUUUCUAAGAACUCUUGCUUGACUAAAUGAUAUGCAGCAAUAUUAUUUCUUGUAUAUAAUUUUUCAAAAAAAAAAUAAUGAACACACAAGAUUCUCAAAAGGAUGAAUUUUCUUUAGUAAUUUACACGUAUAGUUAAUUCACAGCUUAGGCAAAUGGCAAGAUUCUUCGAUUAAAUAAUAUUUUUAUUCAGUCCCAAUUUAAAUUUAGGGUUUAAACAAUAUCUCAAUUAAAAAAUAUUUUAUUUCAUUAAUAAAUUUUCAUCAUACCAAGGGAAUUAAUUUGUAGAUGUUUAAUUGUAUUGUAAUUUUUCGACUUCAAAGAUUUUGAGAAUACUCCAAUUGCAUAACUUGGAAAUUCUAGGGUUCUAUCGUGGAAAUGGAGGAUUACAAAAAAGAUUUUAGGGAUGAGCUUUUUGCACCAAAGGUUGCACCUUCCAGCUAUAAAGAUGGAUUUCCAAGGUUUGAUAACAGCCAUUUAAAUAGCUUUUAGACCGACAAUUACACAUGAAAGGAAAAAUUAGAAUUUCAAAACUGGUGUUACGUUAAAAAUUCAAAAUUCCACGCCUGAUUUGAAGUCCUUACCGAAGUAGUGGGCGAAGCCAGCGAUUCCCUUACAGAAUUGGACAGGUAGAAUCUCCUAAAUAAAUUUGAGCGUGUUUUAAUUGUCAUAUAAAAAGUUACAGUUUAUUUAUUUUUAUAACUAUAGGUAUUCGAGCUGGUUUGUCCAUACCUCAACUAAUUUCACGGGUUUUGAAGUUAAUAAACAUAUAAGUCUCUAGUAGUCCUAAGAUUUGUAAGAUUUGAACUGGUGAUCUCUAAAGAGCAAACUUAAAACUUGACCAAUUAAAUUACACCCUUCAAAAUUAAUUAUAGUCUAUUUUAUUAUACAGGUCAUUUAGCGCGAUUAGAUCACUUAUUGAGUUUAAAUUAAUUUGUCUAUAUGAUCCAAUGAAAUAUUUGCUAGGUUAUUUAUAUUGUCCAACUGAGAUAGAUUUGUAUCCAAUUGAUCACAUCCUCCUGCAUCAAAGAUUAUUACAUGGCUAAUAAUCAAUAAUGUACAAUCUCUCAAACUAUAUCGUGCAAUUAUUGAGGUAUGCAUAGACAUCUUAAUUUAAUUAAAUCGAAGUCCGAGGAAAUAAAGUUGUUAUGGUUGUCUCUCAUGAAAUUAAAAAGUUAAUCCUAAAAGGUAUAAUUUAACUAGUCAGAUUCUAAGUUUGCUUUUUAUAGGUCACCAAUUAAUUCAAGUUCUACAAACCUCAUGGUCACUAAAGAUUUAAAUAAUUGUUAAUUUUAAGGCUCAUAAAAUUAAUUGAAAUACAUACAAACUGAUCCGGAUAUUUAAGUUAAUAAUACUAAUAAUAAAAAGCUUGUGCAUAGGUUCUCGCUCUGUUCCUGGUUUAUUAAAUCUCUUGUCAUGACCUAUUUCAUUGGAGGCUCGCCCCAUGCAAUUAAUAUUCAUGUGGAUUAUCCAAAGUAGCAUUUGAAUUCUGUAAAUUAACUUCCGUUUUGUUCAAUUUCCUAUGUCUUUAAAAUUCUGUUAUUGACAUAGGCCUAAUUAAGUAGACAACAUUGUAGUUUCGAUAUGCCAUAAUUUUUAUCUGAAUGUCCGAUUGAGGCUUGUGAAAACAAUGUAAAAAAAAAAGAGAAGGGAAUUGAACUAGUUUGAAGAGUUUGAUUUAUGUAAUUCAUAAUCAAAAUCUGGAAUUAGCUAGAUUUGAAGCAAAGUGUGCUACGUACAAUGGCUAAUUUUAUCCUGAAAAUUCCCAUUUUGACAUGUGAGGCUAAGGCAAAUGGAACAGUAAACAUUUCAUCCAUAGUUUUGAAACCCAGCCCAACACGGCAGGUCAACCCGUGAUCCGGAUGACCCAGGGCUGGAAUAGGACUGGCUUGAAGAAAAAACAAAAAAACAAAAAAUCCGGUGUAACCUGGCAGGCUGGUCAAGACCCGGCCUUAAACCCGUUGACUUUUAUUUUAUUUUUAUUUUUGUUUUACUAAAACGACGUCGUUUUGAUUUUAAAAAAAAAUGCCUUGGACUGGGCCGGCCACCAAUCGGGUCUUAAAAAUAUGAUUUCAUCUAACAUAUACACAUAAUUAAAGGAAAACAUUCAUGAAUCUUUGGCAGAAUGUCGAUAGUUACUGGCCUUAGAGAGCAUAUUGUUAGAACCACUUAGGUGGAGAUUAGUGGUUCGGUCUAUGCCAUUAAGGUUACAGAAAAACCAUGCUUAGAGGUUAAUUCAAGUAGGUUUGAUAAAAAGAAGGUUGUGGAAAAUUGGGCUGGGAAGUUGAAUCCUUACUCUAGAAUCCUCCCAGCAUGAUUCUCUCAAAUCAUCAUAUGCUGCUGCUGAUUAAUUUUGUUCUGAGGAGCCAAUGGAAGAUGGAAUAGAUGGAGCAAAAAUUGAUGACACGAAUGAGACUGCUGUAUGUAGCCAUGGUAUGGAUAGGGAAUUCUCUUUUUGUGAUCCUGGGUGAACAUGUACUGCCUGAAAGAAUUAACAAGAAGGGUACUUUGAAUGUUGAUUUGCUUUCUCCAGAGAAAGGUUCUUUGAGGAAAUCUGUUGCUGAGACCCUUGAGGAGACAGAAACAACCGAUAGCGACCCGAUAAAUGCAACGCUGCACUAACAAGCUUCCCUGCUACCAUAGCUGCUAUAAAAAGCAAUGGAGUCCAAAUUGUUGAAAAGCAGUCAGAGGAAAAUUUAAAUAUUGAUGGUGGGCUUAUCUCUAAUGCUUAUAUGGAUGAGUAGAGGAAUGGAUCACAGUGUAUUGGGCUAGAGGAAAACACACUCUCAAUAGUUCCAGUUAACACACAUGAGCCUCUGUUAACUACUUACUAUAAGGCUUCGGACCAACAACUGAUCUCAUUCAUGCUUAAAUGGCCCGGUGAAAUAUAAUAAAAACAAGAUGUUUGAGGUCUUCAUCACACCUAUAGCAGAACCAGAGGAGGUAGCUGAACUAGAGAAGGAAAAGAAGAGAAGUUCGAACAAAAGAAAGAAGAAACUUUCCUUAAAAUCAGCAACUCGUAAGGGGAGAACAUCAAGAAGUAGAAAAGAGAAGUCUGCUAACCUGGAAAUCACUGAAAUGUCUAUCUCAGAUGGUGAAAUCAGAAACGGAAACAAGGCUAUACGCUCUGGCAUGGACAUUAAUGUAAUGGAGAAGGGGAUCAUUUCCCCUCGGCGACUGGAGCAACAACCACCUGUCGAUAGUAGAAAGGAACUUGCUGGGAGGUUGGAAAGGCCAUUCUUUAGCUAGAUGAUGAUAGUGAUCAGAUUGUGGACACCUUGAAGGUUUUCAUAGACAAAGAGCGGGAGAACUGGAAAGGAAGGUUGGAGUAACAGUAAUGCUCCACUAAGAUAUUCUAGAUCUUGGUAUGUUGUUCCCUCAGUUGGUCUUUCCGGGGCCUGCUUUCUAUAUGGAAUUCUCCCAGCUUUAAUGUCACGAAUACAAUGGUAGGAUAUUGCAUAUAGAAAGAGUCUUUACAUAGUACAACACUGAUUGAGUGCUAUUUAUGGAUUAUUCCUCAAAGAAAGAAUUGAGGAGCUAUCUGGUGAAUUUCAAAUGUAACAUUUCUAAGCCAUGGUGCCUUGGGGAUUUUAAUGAGACUAUCUCUCCUUCAGAUCGUAAGGGUGGGAUAAAUAGUACUUGUUCUAUGAAAGCAUUUCAAUAAUGUUACAUGGAUAUCUUUUCUACUAACUACUACCUUCUGUUAAAUUAUCUAUAUCUGAUAACUCUGUCAUAUCCCCUGUUCACGAAACAUUGCACACCAAGCAACUAGGUGUUUCCUUCAGAUGUUUGGUUCUAUGGUAUUCUGGGUUUCUUCUGCAGCAUGUUAUUGAAUCUAUGGUGUUCUGAGUUGGUUCCUUUUGAGAAGAAUUAAUUUUUUAUUUAUACCGAGCAGGUUCUUAUACAUAGUGAAAGCUUGAGCCAUAAUAUUGGCAGGAUUGCCGGUAGCACUGGGAAGCAGAAUUGUUGUCCCCUGAAAAAAGAAAAAAAGAAGGGACAGAAGGAAAAGAAGAACAAACAUCAGAAAUUGUAAACUAACUGUUUAUCAAACCAGACAAUCACAAGCACAUUUGAAUAAAUCUCCUCACCUCUUUGGCAAUGUUACCAAAAGCUCCCACAUAUUGCUCAGCAAUUUUCAAACUAGCGACCUGCAAAUCAUGCCACAAACGUGAGCCUUGAUGCACAUAAGAUAUGCAUGUCACAGUUGAUUGUCUUGUGAACGCUAAAAUGCAAGAAUCACAAAUCACAUGUGGUAUAAAACACUUGCAAAAUCACUAAUAUAUCUUGUUUACACAACAACAUCAAAAUCUACAUGGAGAACCUCACCUCAAUCCCCCCACUCUUUUUAAUAUUCUCUGACACAAUGGCAAUUCCUUUGGCUGUUGCUUGUGCUUUAGCAAUGAUGGCUUCAGCCUCACCUAAAAUAUUAUCGAUAAGGAUUUAAAAGUAUAUGAGAUUGGCAGCCGAUCAUAUGAGAACUAUAUAAAGAUAAGCCAUGAUAUUGCCCGAUCAAGUCAGGUUGGUUAUCAAAUAUUGUAGAGUAGCUAAUGGGUCUAGAAAAUGAAAAACUAGAGCAUCCAAAAAUAAACAAUCCAGGAGACUAGAAGAGCAAAUUAAGAGCCAAACCUAUUUUAAGUGCAACUAGGUACCAGCACUACCAUGUAAAAGCUUCAACAGAUAUGAAAAGUCAUAUAAUAACAAAUAUGUUCUCACAUCAUGUGGUUUGCUUAAAAAGUAAUACUUGAGAUGCUACAGCCAUCUCCAAUGAAACCCAAUCAUAAUCAGUGGAUCAUUGCACAUAUACACAAGGAUAUACGAAAGACAAGGAUUGAAAGAAAAUUGAGAUUAGCUGCCUACAAAAUAACUGUAACAAGAUAAGCCAUCAUAUCACCUCAUGAAUUUUGUUUGGUUAUCUACUAAUUUGGAACAGCUUAUGGGUCUAGAAAAUGAAAUAGAGGAGCAUCAAUUGAUUAUUGCACAGCAGAGAGACAUGAUAAAGCUAACCUUGUGCUUUGUUGAUGAGAGCUUGUUUCUCUCCUGUUGAGGAAGAGAGUUCCAAUGAAGAAAUGAUGGCAAUUGGAUGAUAAACAUUAAAGAAGUAAAACAAGUUCUAUUUCAAAAAAAUACCAGAGAAGUUACAACCAUCUCCAAUGAAACUUGUAACCAACAGAAUUCUAACAACACACAAGAAAACUAACCUUGUGAUGCCAAGAUCUGAGCACUCUUAUGACCAUCAGCAAUAUUAAUAUUGGCCUGUCUCUCUCCUGUUAAAAAUAAUCAAUACAAAAGAUUAUCAAUGGAUUGACAAAUGAAGAAAUAUUGCAAUGCCUCAUGACAUUGAACAAAUGGUUCUAAAAAAGGUUGCCUCCAAUUAUUAAGCCAUGCAUAACAAAGAUUUAUAGAUAUGAUAGGUGAAUAAAAGUGUCUGCAUUAUGUAGCAGCAAAGAUAUGAGAAGCAGAAAAAAUGCGAUUAAAAGGAGCGGUGGAAAACGACCAAGCAUGACAAGAUGGCAUGGCAAUUCUGUACAAACAGAUAAAAAUGAUGCAUGAAGUCAAUUGCAACAAAGUUUGAUUAAAGUGAGUUUAAUUAAGCUGAGGUAAAACUGAGAAACUAAACUACAUUUAAUACCUUCAGACUCAAGAAUUUGAGCUCUCUUUCUACGUUCUGCUUCUGCCUGCAUCUCCAUAGCUUGCUUCACCCCUCGUGGAGGAGAUAUAUCCCCUAAAGAAGCGAGGACAGAGAAGCAUGAAAAGAAAAUUCUACAGGAACCUAAUCAACAUAGAAUAUCAAAUAAGUUAAGUGCGGCUGGCUCACUUAUUUCAUAACAAAGACAUCGGAGACCCUAGUCUCUUGCAGCCACAUUAAUGGCCUCCUGCAGAAAUGGUGACAGUCUUGCAUAUUCAACAACAUCCUUGUUUUCUUAAAAUACCUGAUUUUCAACUAAAACUCCAAAACAACCUUAGAGUUUUAACUAGGUUGAUAAGACAAGAAACAGAGAAGUGUCAUUACAAUUUUGAAGAACCAACCAAAUCACAAUUUCCUGAAGCAGCAACCGAUUUUUCUCACAUUUAUGAUUUAUGUCUAGCAUUUCAAUAUAUUAUUAAUGAAUCGAAAUGUUAAAGCAACCAAUCUCUUCACGAAAUGUGCUUCACAUAAAAAGCACACUCCUAAAUAAAUAAAUAAUGUGAAUACACUAAGAAAGGGUGAUUGAAGUAAAGAGGUAUCAUACCACAAUCUUUUCAUUGAGAGUGUCUCGUUCUUCAAAGGUCUUGUCAAGAGUAAUCUUACCAAGCUCACUACGCAUAGUGGUCUGGGCAAGUUGAACGACAGCAUAGAUGGGAUUCUCAACACCAUAAGAGGCAAGCUUAGGAUCCACAAUCUGUUGCACAACAAUUUGAGUAUCAAUAAUAGUAAAUGAUUGAUUAACCCAAAAGGGAAAGAGAAACGAGAGAGAAGGGGGAAACCUUGACAUAGAGGACGCCGUCAAUAAGGAUGCUGACAUUGUCUUUGGUAAUAGCAGAUUGAUCAGGAAUCUGAAUAGCCUCUUCCUUCAAAGAGUGAACAUAAGCAAUUCGAUCGACAAGGGGAAUCAAGAAAUGGAUUCCAGAUGGCAGCGUCUUCAAGUACUUUCCAAAUCUCUCUACCACAAACGCUUUCUUCUCCGGCACAAUCCGUACCCCCCAAUUCACAGGUGGCGUAAUCUCAUAACUAAUGAAUUAUAAUAAAUUAAUAAAAAAAAAAUGGAAGAAAGACAGGGAGGGAAUGGGGAAUGAAUGUACCUGGUGAAGGGGUCGCGGCCGGUGCGGAGGAGGCGGACGGAGAUGGUGGAGGAGAGAGGAGAGGAAAGGCGGUUGUUUUGGGCUAAGUGAAAAGAAGGGGGUUUAAAUAAGGGAGAAUUGGAGGAGGGAGUGAGGAGGGUUCUGCCUCUGGAAGCGGUGGAAGCCGAUAAGGAGGAGAGGUGGUGGGAGGUUCUUACGGCGUUGUUGAGUAAUAAAUGACUCCUCCUCCUCCACAUUUUUCUGUCUCUCUUUGUUGUUGCUGUUGAAAAACCCUUGGCCUCCUUAAUUAUCGAACCCUCCCUCACUCUCACACUCUUCACUCUGAUC